RNAcentral lists this long non-coding RNA (79940 nucleotides) under Setaria viridis. RNAcentral's name for it is "long non-coding RNA (SVIR_LNC005839)". The record is from RNAcentral. Lineage: Eukaryota; Viridiplantae; Streptophyta; Magnoliopsida; Poales; Poaceae.
UCUUUGUUUUUUUUUUGUUAUGCUUCCCAGUCUUCAACCGCGAGGUACUCAGGAAACCAUACUAGUGAUAUGUGUCUUAUGCAUUGUGAACUUGUAAUAAUAUAAUCCUGUUUGUAAAUAAUAUAUGGCAGUUUGUAAUCAACACGGUCUUCAUAUACAAUGUUAACCACUAUAUGUAUAAUAUAUAUCUUUAAUGAGAUAACAACCAUACGUAAAUUAUUGUGUGAUAAAUUAUUUUUGCAAAAAAUAAAUCCAAUUAUGUGACUUUCAUAUGAUCAAUUAAAUACUUUAAAAAAAUUAACAGUCAAAAUAAUGAAUGUGUGUGCAGUACGAAUACUAUUUUCUUUAGUGGAAACAGUAACCCUGCUGGCACAGGGGCACUGAUAAUGUGUUGCACUAGGUUUGCACAGGCCAUGUUAGGCCGUGAAGAUGACAUGACAAAGAGCAUCGAUCACAGCAUGCCAGUGUGGCCCUUUUAUUGUAGGGUUUCCAAUGGCGCAUGAAUGCAUGAUGGUAUAGUAGUACGGUAAAAAUACAUAUCAUGUGCUUAUUACAACGAUACUACCGUUGUAUACUUGUAGUUAUAUGUGUUAGCUCAUUCUUAGUAACAAAAAAAUGAUAAAUUUGUUUUGCUUGGUGAAAUUGUGUAAUUAUCAGUGCUUGAGCAGGAACAACGAUUUUUUUAGAUUGCAAAAGAGUUGAUUAGUAGUUUUGGUAAGUCAUGGGUGAUGGGACAAUUAGCGAUUUUGUUAACUGGACUAAUAAUCAUAUCGGAUCAUAAGGUAUUUUCCGUACUAACUAUACAAACUACUUCCUCCGUCUCAAAUUAUUAUUCGUUUUGGAUUUUCUAGCUACAUAGCUUUUACUAUGCAUCUAGAUAUAUGGUAUGCCUAGAUAUGUAGCAAAUGUUAUGCACUAGAAUAGUUAAAAUGAAUAGCAAUUUGGGACGGAGGGAGUAAAUCCUUAGAAAAGAAAGGUCAUAUAGAUUAAAAAAUACAUCUUAAAUGUCACUCACUUUCAUAAAAAAUGAAAUUCACUCACUCACUCGACUGGGUAUAGAAUUGUGUUGAGAUAAGGUUGCCUAUGGUCCUAUUUGGAUACGCUUCUCCUAGCCACGCUUAAAUUAUAAUCAAAGCGAAGAUUUUCUCGCUUCUCGCUUUUCGCUUCUUAUAAUUCAAAUCUCUGAAGCGGUUUACCACAUAAGCGAGAAUCGGUGAAAAUAAGCAAAACGUUUGAUGGGAUUCUCGCUUAUUUUCACCGAUAAGUCGCUUAUAAGCGGAAACAAACGGGGUCUAUAUAUCAUUGCUACUGGUCCAAAUAAAUAAGUGGCAUCAUCAACGUAGUUUCAUAAUUGCUCUUCCGACCAUCAAUUCUUGUUGUGGUAAGCAAAACUGCAAAACUAAUAGUGGUGAUCAUUAUCUCCAUGGCGGCAACUGCACUGAGUUUGGGUUUAUGUACAAUGGUGAGUUUGUGAUGCGAGAAUGAAAUCUUAUCUGACCCACGUGCUUGCUACCGGAACAACAUGUGUCACAUGCAUCCAGACGCUGGUAGGAUGCCCUAGCCGCCAAUCAGAAUUGGCCGGGUUUCGAUUGCGGCGGCGUCAGAAUUGAAUUGAAGAAUAUUAGAGCGAUGGUCGGCAAGAGUUGCAUUGGGCCAUUGGCCGGGUGGCCGGUUGAUAGAGGAGGACCGGACCGUCGGUGGAUAAGAUGCAUGAGCGGUGUGGGUGCGAUCCAGCAACAACAAAAGAGAUGAACGCAGGCCGAGUUGAAUGCUUCCCCCGCCCGGAGCCCCGCCGGACACCGGACGCCGACGCGCAUCAAUGGAUGCAUGCCUGAGGAGUUGAGGGCCUCGCCGUGCCGUGCGUCGCCGGUCGGUUCCUUUCCUCAUAUCCUCGGCGACGGCUUCCGCCAACACGUGAACCAACGGCUCCCAUGUGCUGCGCGACGCGGGCGUGCACGGGAAAUGGAGCAGCGGUGACGCGGCAGAAUGCCGAGGGGGGCCCGCGCUGCUGCUGCUGGCACGGUUGCUGAUGCCUGCAGCGCAGCGCAGUGCAACAGAUCGACGUGAUGCGCGCCUGCAAGCACGGUAUCUACUAUCGUCGUCCGUCCAGCCCAUCCCCCCGUGCCAUCAGAUAAUAAUUCACCUCCAACAAGGCAAGAACCAACCUCCGUUAACAAGGAAUGAAGAUAAACAAGGCGUAUAGUAGCCAGAAUUCACGGAUGGCAAAAGGAGAGUACCAUGCAAAUACAAUGCUCAAAUAUGACAAGUCUCUACCCACGCUGAAAAGGAACAAAACAAAUUAAACAUGAUUAGGAUUAAAACGGUACGUCACCUGGGCGAUUAAUGUGAUAUGGAGGGAAUUACCCGGCCCUACCCGAAAUACUUUACGGCGUGAUCGGCAAUUUGGCAGCAGCAGCCUCUACAGCACCUGUAGCAGCAGCUACACCGCAAGCCAGCCAAGUAGCCUCUGGACAGUUGAGCGUGCAGCCGAGCGGCUGCGCUGCUGUGCAGCUGCAGCCGCAAAAGAAUCACAAGAGAGCAGGGGUUGGUGCGAUAUUUUCAAGGAAAACUCCUCCCACCGUUUGAAACUACAAGGCUUACUGCAUAAUUUUUUCAUCAAUAGUUACUCUAUUAAUAAUGCAUAUCUUUUUUAUUUUUAUGAUAUAAAGUUAGUGUUGUUGCAUUCCAAUUCAAAAGUACUAGCUUAUCGUUAUAACUUGAUGUCUCAAAUUACAAACAUAUUACUAGUCUUGACAAAUAACAUUGCCCCUAGUCACUCAUGGUGUUGUUUGGUUUUAUAGAUCUUGAUAAAUACGUACGUUGUGAAAACUAGAAAGCUAGUGCCAAUUACUUAUUUGGUUGGCUCCAUGUGCUUCUCAUUUAGAUGGGACCCACCUUGCUAGACUAUAAGCUAAAGAUGACAUAUUAAUAGAGUAUUUGCAUGUACUAAAUGACUUAAGGGCAUCCACAUUGUGCCCAAAACUAGUCCUAUAACGUUAUAAAGGUACUCAGAAACAGUCUUUAUAGCAGUCCAUAGUUGCAUGUAACCGUAUGCCUAGAGACCACCCAUAUAUCAAUAGAGACCACCCAUAUAUGUCAAGAACUUUAGGAAAACCUUCGAUUCUAUGGUCAUUCUCAACUUGUGGAUGAUUUGAAAAGAGCCAAAUGAUCAGACCUUCAAUCGUCGGUCAAUGACGGCAGCUCAACUAAUGAGAGGCAUAGCUAAGAAGCUUCUAUUUGGGUUCAAGUAGGACACCAGCUGUAAUCGGAUUUUAUUCCAAUAGGUGUGCGACAAGGUUGCGAUUUAGUUAUUGCGUAAUCUUCCUUUUUGCUUCCACAGGGCCACCCAUCAUCAGUGUGUUAGGUCCGGUCACUAAAAUUCUCUCUCUCCAUUGCCCUCUUCUUCCACCCAUGUUGAUAUUGUUGCUGCUCCUGCCACCAACAUGAGCUCGACAAGAUGCGCUCCACCACAAGGACGAUCAUGGAGCUAAGGGUGAGGAGGCUAGGAACCAGGAACUCAAAAGAGGAGGCCUAAGCCAAUGGGGCGCCACCCCAUCCACACCUCCACGGCUCCAUCCCUUCCCUAGCUAGUUGCCGAGCUUGAUGCUGGCAACCCAAUCCAUGUUCUCCUCUCCACACCUUCGCGUCCCCGCCCCUCCCCCUCAUUGCCGAGCUUGCCCAAGCUGUGGGAUCCAGCUGAGUUUGGAGAAGCCAACUUGAAAGGGAACAUUGGGCACCAUGAGCAACCUCAAACUUGGGAACCCGCCAUCAAGAUGCCUCCCCGCCAUUGUGGGAGCUGCACUUGAAUGGGGAACAGAGCCACCUUGACAGCGGCCAUGAGGCAUCUGAGGCUGCGGCAGGUCUUCCCCUUUUGCAAUUCCCUGCCCGAAUUUGUUCAACAGCAAGUUCACAGAAAAUAUAUGUGUUCUCUUCAUUCCAAUUUGCCUUCUCAAACUUUUUCUAUUACACAAAAUGUUUAAGAGAUUUAGUUUAAACAUUUACAAAUCAAGUGAAGCAUAACAACUAGCUCAAACAUUUCAGAUCAUCUAGUUCAAACAUUUCAGAUCGUCUAGUUCAAACAUUUCAAAUCAUCUAGUUCAAACAUUUUAGAUCUUCUAAUUCAAACAUUUCAGAUCUUCUAAUUCAAACAUUUCAGAUCUUCUAAUUCAAACAUUUCAGAUAACUAAACCAACCAAAACAACAGGAAGAUGAACCUGAACAUGACAAAAAUACAAAGCAGGAAACUUACGAAAUGGGAGGCGUCCUCAUCUUCAUCAUCCAGCUCUUCGUGGCCGCCAACAUCCUCUGCGUUGAUCCCGGCAGAGGUUGCUCCAUGGAUAGACAAUCUCCCACAACCUCUACCUCCCAUCCCACUGACGGAACCCAGAGGCGGGUCGCCAACGCGGAGGGGAGGACCUCCAACAUGGGGGCCGGAACCUAGAGGCGACGGACUGGAUGCAGUGUUGAUGGUGUGGCUGUGGCGACCACGCGCAGCCAGGCUUCUUCCACGGCCGGAUCCGGCACCACCACUGCUCGGUCGAGGAGGUUGGAACGCGCCAAAUUUGCCGCCAUCACCAUGACCUCUUCCCCGCUGCAGGUAACCCAAGUACUCAUCGAGGAAGGGGAAACUGUCACCCUGGGAGUUGAGAUCAAGGUGCUCCAUGUGCACCCUCCUAGCCGAGAGGCUUGGGGCCAUCGGUGCAUAGGACGGCGCUUGCGACAGAAGGUCCAAGUCAUCGGGGUCGGGGACGGCGGCGGAAGGAGGGAAGGCGGGAGCCGCCGAAGAAGAAGCACCCUGCGAGAAGUAGUCCCGGUAGCCGUUGUCGUGGUCGUCCAUGGUGGAUCCGGCGGAGGCGUGGGCAGGAGCGGGGGCGGUGGCAGUGUAGGGAAACGAGGGGGCGGAUCCGACGUAGGGAAGAGAGGGAGCGGAUCCAGCGGAGGCGUGGGGCGGAGCGGGGGCGGUGGCGGCAUGGGGAGCGGUGGGGGCGGAUCCGGGGGGAGGAGUGGGCUCGUGGCGGCGGAGGCGUGAGGAGGAACAGGGGAGGUGGCGGUGUACAGAGCGGAUCCGGUGAAGGCGUGGGCCGGAGCGGGGGCGGUGGCGGCGUAGGGAGCGGUAGGGGCGGAGGCGUGGGGAGGAGUAGGGGCGCGACGGCGGAGGCGUGGGGAGGAGCGGGAGCAGUGGGGGCGGCAGCGGCGAGGAAUGAAACGGGAGAGAGAGGCAGAAAUGGAUCGGGAUGGGUGGGGUGGGGUGGGGUGGGGUGCGGGGGGAGGGGGGGAGGUAGUCACGGACAGGACAUUAAUGAGGGUACUCCCUAUCUAGGGGUACCUUUUAGUCCCUAUAAGUAACCCCUUAGGGACUAAAGGGCUAAACUUUAGUUCAACUUUUAGUCACCCUAUUAGGCAAUUUAGGGACUGAAAGGGAUUAAAUCCCUAAAGUUUAGCAGGGGCAAACCAAACAUAGCCUUAUUUUCCCAAACCAAACAGAGCCUUAUUUUCCAUCUCCCAUGCACAUUUCGAUUUGAACGAAUGGUUGUGGAUGUACAUUGCUGGGGAAUCCGAUCCGUGUACAUGAAAAGAUCGAUUAAACGAGAGAGGAGGACGGGAUGACGACAAAAUUAGGGAGGGACGGGCGGCGGUGUGAAGGGAGGUGGAAGCAUGAUACUGAGAGAUGAGAAUAGUUAAUUGAUCAUAUUUAGUACUCCAUCCGUUCCAAAUUAUGCCGUUUUGGUUUUUAGAUUUAUAGCUUUUGCUAUGCACACGUAGCGUAUAUCUUUUAUGAGUGUAGAAAAACUAAAAUACCUAUAAUUUAAAAUGGAAGGAGUAUAUGCUAGCAGGCUGUCUCACCUAGAGUCCCUCGACAUUAUCGUGGCAAUAGAAAUAUGGCCAAACCUUUGGCCAUAUAGCCAUGUCAUAUGUCCCUCAACAUUCUCCUUGUCCUAAUAAGGGCCACCUGCCCUAAUAAGGAUCGCGUGCUCUCACCUUGCCCUUUUGGUUUUUAUUAUCAUUUUUUUGUCAUGUUCCAUCAUCCGAGCUCAGCGUUCCAAUAUAAUUUACACUUAUACUACAGUGUACAGUGGACUGCGUGGAGCAGAUACCAUAUCAACGACGCCCAUGCAUGCUUCCCGAUCCGGUGCCGAGAUCCUACGGAUCAGCAGGGCAGGUGCAGAAGGCCGACAAACAGCAGUAACCAAACGAGAAAAGUCUUACACGGAGAGGACAGACGGUACAAGAUGUAGGGUUGAUAGGGGUUUCCUGCUGAGCCUAGCUCCUUGAAAGUUUGAUUGGUUACCUGCAUUCAUUCAGUGAGGUCAUAGAUAGAAACUGUUUGGUUGCCCCACGAGUACAUCUUGUAUGAAAUAAUAUAUUAUAAACAAAUAUCAUUAUGAUAUUUAGGCCCCGUUUGCUUCCACUGACUUAUUUUUAGCACCCGUCACAUCGAAUGUUUAGAUACUAAUUAGGAGUAUUAAACGUAGACUAUUUACAAAACUCAUUACAUAAGUGGAGGCUAAACGGCGAGAUGAAUCUAUUAGGCCUAAUUAGUCCAUGAUUUGACAAUGUGUUGCUAUAGUAAACAUUUGCUAAUGAUGGAUUAAUUAGGCUUAAUAGAUUCGUCUCGCCGUUUAGCCUCCACUUAUGUAAUGGGUUUUCUAAAUAGUUUACGUUUAAUACUCCUAAUUAGUAUCUAAACAUUCGAUGUGACACGUGCUAAAAAUAAGUCAGUGGAAGCAAACGCCCCCUAUUGUGUGUAAGCAUAUUUUAAAAAUUCUUAGUUUAUCCUAUUAAACCUUAAUCACCUUUAAAAAAUACUAAUACCACUUACUAUAUACUAAUUAAUUACUUUCUUAAUACGUUCAUUAGUCAGUAGCCACCCGCAUCCAGCGAGCCAGGCCCGCGGGAAACGAGCUUUGUGGCUUUUGCACGCGUACAGCCAGGCUCACGCAGGCAACCAAUCAGCUGCAUGCUGCAUCCGGUGAGCCUGACUGGGGCUCGGUGCGGCCAACCAAUCAGGAUAGGUGUCGCAGCUCAUGGAUGCUGAUGUACUCCUACGUACACAAAAGGCCCUGCCGAGAGCAGUAUUUGCUCUGAGGUAGACAGGUAGUGGGGUGUUUUCAUUCGACAACACAGCACAGCACACAUGCAGCCAUGGCACAGCACAUUGAUCUGCAUGCUGUUUCAAAUACUGUUCCGUCGCAUGCUGUUUCAAAUACUGGCAGGACACUUGAUCUGCAACAAGCUUUCUUCCUUCGUGUCUCUAUCUCAUUCUUUGUUCCGUCGCUUGCAUUGGCAGCAGCACAUUGCCGCUGGUGACGAUUCGAUCCACAUAUAUAUGUGGCCUUUGACUGGAUGCCCCAUCUUCGUCGUCGUCGUCGUCGUCGAUAGUAUACAUGUAUAUACGCACGUUAUGUCACGUGCGUACCUGCAGCGUGCGGGCAUUCAGCCAAUGGACACAAGGGAGAUGAAGCAAGCACGUCAGUGCAGCAGAGCGGAAAUUCGCCCGGAGUUCCCACUGCUUCCUCCUUGAGAUUUCAUUUGUUGCUGUAUGUGCCGGUUCAUUUUUGUUCUUACUGGCUUGCGGUGGCAGCACCAUAUUUCCUUCCAAACGAUAGUUUACACGCAAGCAAGCUACCACAGUAUGUAUGGUUAGAGAAUCAGGUGAAGACCACAGGUUGAGUUUGGUUUUGGUGUGAAAUCGCUGUCGGAUUGGUGCAGUUCCGUUUUUGAGGCAUGCAGAUUGAUGUGGUGUGGUUUAAUUGACGAGCAGCAGACUAGUGGGUUUGGUGCGGCUUUAGUCUGGAUCUCAGACCAUUAGCAGCCUUACCCGUACUCGAGACACACUGAUGACUAGGCUCAAUCCAUGUCCCGAAUAAAGCGAGCGCGCGAUCGAUCGACAUCGUCCAUGGCGCACUCAUGCAGCCGAUGGAAUGUUGGCCUCAUGCGCCUGCACUUUCACAGCGGAAUUCGUCAUGCUGCUGAACCCCCUGAUUGGGACCUCUCGCCAGAAAUAAUUGAAUUCAUUCAGAGUAUACCAUUCAUUCACAGGCACCGAACAGCAUGAUCCGUGUUAGACUUUGAUUUGAAUCCCUUCGUCACCGACGACAGGACGUCCCACUCAUUGUUCUCCUGGACUACUACAAUGCAUUUUACAGCAAGGAGACAGUGCCAGCUCGGCCUAACACAAAGGUGAUGAUGUAACAUCCACAUCCCUGGGCUGGUACUACUAGGAUGCUGCCGUCCUUCCAUUUUAACAGAAACAACUUGAAAAAACAACCAAGCGACUAAUUCGUAACUUUAUACGGCAGUAACUCUAAGCUCUCCAUUCUGUCUGUCAGCAGCGCAUCUCGGUGUGCGAGAUAGUAGGCUAGACAUUACGAACCGACAGUGUGCACCUUGAUGCUGAUAUGUUACGCAUUGCUUGCGUGGUCAGGAUACCGACAACCUGCUGAAGGUGACCAACUUUAGUCACGGUGCCCAUGAGACCAGCAAUGGGCAGCAAAAUUGGACAAUUAUUUCGCAGAAAGUAAAUUUUGGGCUAGACACUAGGGCCAUCAGGAGAAGUGUGCAAGCGAUCACCUGCAGCUGCCUCAGCGGAACUCGUCAUGGAAAUAGUCGUCGUCAUCACUAAGGUACACACUGCCAUAAAAUACAUAGGGGUUCUCAAUCAUCUCGUCCAAAGCUAGCCUCCCGUCAUGAUCCUUGUCUGCCUGCAUUUUUUGAUAAAAGCAACCACACAAGUCAUCUCCAAAGGGAAAAGGCCCGUCAUAUGAUGAAUGGUCAUAAAAGGAAGUCGAUGAUGCAAGACAAUUGCCCUUUUGCUUGACCAUAUUUCAAAGAGAAUAAAACAGCACCACUUACUAAACAGCAGAAACAGAAAAAAAAAAACUGUUGCGAGCUGUGCUCUAUUGCUUCAUGACCAUCAGGUCACUAAUGAAGUAUAAACACAAUAUAGUGUACUACAUUCAGUGAUCCAUUAGUUUGGGGUUUUCUAUACUCAAAGUUCAUUUAACCCCGAAGUCCUUUUGGAUAAAUAGGCUGAAAAAGCACCAAUACAAAACCAAUUGGACAUUUAUUAGACUACAUACACAUUAUACAGCUGUUACACAGUAAUGCCUUCUCUCGAAUUUUGUAGGGUAUACAAUCUUUCCUUCUAUGGCUCUACCUUACUGAAAUUUGACAAUGGUGUACGGAUUAUAAUACUUUAGCUAUAGUCCCAAAAAGAUUAAAUCAAAUCCACAUCGCACCGACAGAAACCAUAUACAAUUUCCAGACAUCUGCAAUUUCUCUAUGCAUAACAUUGAGUUACUCAACUUAGAAUGGAACCAGAAAGAAAUGAUUUUGCAACUAUGUGCAUAAUGAAUAGCCAAUAUCUACUUAGUGUCUUCCUGUUUGACAAUGCAAACUUAACACAAUUUAUAUUAAUGACAUUAUUUGCAUGCUAUAUUGGGUUUUGGCCAUACUGGCUCAGGAUAAGGUGUUAAACGGGUUAGCAAUUAUAAGGUCAUCCACUGUUUUGUAUGGAAGGUAAAAUUAGUUAGGACCAAACUGAUAUGAAAAGUUUGGCUAUAUGUGCAGACAUGAUUGAAAUAAUUUCUGAACUCAUAUGAGAAGGCAGCUCAUAUUCAUACCUGAUGGUAAGUAGUUUCAGCAACUCCUAAUUCCAAUGGUGCAAAGAAGAAACUUGCAAAGUAAAAACUAAACAAACAAUUGCCAUGUGGUUGUGCACAUAACUAUGAUCACAGACACUCAAAUACGCCUAGAACUAGGAAAACAGAAUAAUAAAAAGAGUCAAUGGGAAAGAAAUACGAAUCAAACCUCUGAAAUAGCAUGGAUGGCUUGCUGUCUAGCAUAAUAGCGUUCAGAAAGAUAGAGCUUAUCAAGAACAGGUUCUAGUUCCUGCUCCGAAAUAAACCUACAUAAAAAGGAUUAUCUCAAAUGAAUAAUGGUAAAAGAUUAUAUACCAAAUUCUGUGAGAAACAUCAUAAAAGAACUUUAGCUAGAGGUUCAUUUGCAUACCCAUCAUUAUCUUUGUCAAGUUUGGAGAACCGAUCCUUUGCAACUGUGAUGUUCCCAAUAUGGGAAAUAUCUGCAUUCUCAUCAUCAUAACCAUGUAUAUGGUCAUGUAGUCCAUUAAAGUAUUCAUCAAAGUUUAGCUUUCCAUCACCAUCUUUGUCCCUCUGCCUGGAUAUGGCAUAAUGAGUAAGAAAUUUCAAACACAAUCUCAAGGAAACUGUAACUGUGCUCUAACAGCAUAUGCAAACAGUUAAAGAAUAUUCACCUUCUGAAACUCAUAUAUAGUGACAAAAAAGGAAACAAUUUUCCAGUUUCCACAGACAUGACAGACAAUAUCUGUGGACUGUGGUGAUUCAAAAUCAACAGGUCCCACUCAGGGUUGCUAGUUACUUCCUUUACUACGAGCGAUUUAUAUAAGCCUCAAAAGGUGUCCCUCGUACUUAAGUGUUUAGUUUAGUCCGUCAUUGCCAUGGGAUCAACAUAGAGAUGUUCGGUGUGUAUUUUACAAAGUUUUAGUACAUGUAAUUUUUAGAUUUUGGAACUUAGGAGGUGAAUAUAAAACCUUUAGUUGUUAAGACAUGUAGAACAAACAUAGUUGCCAAAACUAUAAAGCCAACAUGACUUAUCGUCUAUACGCCGAAUACUGCCCAACAUAACCCUAGCCCAGGCCCAGCCCAGCACAAGCUAAAACACCCUGACUGGAACUCUACCUACCAAAAUCCAAUCAUAUAAAUGGUGUGAAUAGCAUCGGUGGCUACUGUAAUAUGAUGAUGUGGCACAAUUGGCUUCUUUUACAUUUAACUUAAAAAAAGUAAGAUGUUGUCAACCUCUAAAGAGGUAGGGUAGGGUUACUCUUGUUUCAGUAACAAAAAAAAUGCAUUGGUGUCAGAUGCAGAAAUUACUGUCCACACACUUCAUACACAUGUGAACAUCAAUUUCCAACAUCGGACAACCAAAUGAAGCUAACAAACUUGCCUCACGAGGUACAAUUAGACACUGCAUGUAACAUAGGCAACGUGACAAGAAAAGGAGAGAACUCAAGGAAAGGAACAAAUGCUAUCAGGAUUUCAUAAAACAUAACCAGGAUUAGACAAUUUUGUUGAUGUUAUUGAUGGGCUCUCCCAUCAGUUAACCAAAUAUUCCCCUUAUAAUUUUAAAGUGACACACCAUCUUAAGUACAUAUAAAUCAUCUAUGCAAAUGACCAUAGUAUUUGCACCUUAUUUUGUGCUAAAGUAGGUGGAAUCUAUCAAGAAAUCUGGUUACCAGAAAGGAAUUACAGCUUUUCACUAUUAGCUGUGGAAUUAUCACACUGACCCUAAUAUCUAAUAUACAAAAUGGUUCGCUAGCUAAAGUCUCUUCCUGGCAACAGCAUGAAAAUGCAGUUAUAGUGCUCACUGACAAGACAAACUUCAUAAAUACACUAGUUACUGGCUAGAGGAUAUGAACAGACCUCAGGACCCAAACGCAAAACACUGAUUUAAAAAUUGAGUUUAUGUGCCCUUUUACAAAUAAACCCAAUAUUAAAGCAUUCCGCGUCCUUUAAAUGUAUGCUACUAAAGUUAAUCUAAACAUAUAGUACUAUGACGGGAAAAGGUCAUCAGGUUGAUGAAGCACGCACCUUAUUUCUUGUUUGGAGAGCAAAUUGAUGAUUUUGGGAUUAUCCGAAUCACUUGGGUUAAGGAAACUGAAGUGGCAGCAAGACAAUUGGAAAGGCAAACAUUAGCAAAUAGUCAACCACAGGUCUAUGGCAAAAGUUGAAUGAAUCCUUACUCAUUAAACUCAGAUUUAUCAAGGAAACCAUCGCCGUUUGCAUCUGAAGCGUUGAAGUGCUCCUCCUUCCACCAUGGGAACCCCAGCAUAUUACCGUCUCCUGCAUAAAUGAACCAACCAAUGAACUCCUAAGAUGCUAACCCACAUUGAUGCCAAGAAUUGUCCCUAUAAAUUGCUGCAUUCAUGGCUUGAUGCACAGAUAAUUGGAGAUAAUUUUUGGCAAUGUUACCAUGGGACUCUUGGCGCAGCGUGUUGAAGGUCGCGAAGGAGACGAUCCCGUUGCCUUUCUUGUCGUAGAGCUCCAUCUCCCUGGCGGAGCGGUGGUGCUGGUCGGCCCUAGCCUGCUCGAGGUUCCAUCUGGUGAGCUCGUCGAGGGAUACGAAGCCGUCCGUCGGGGACACGUCGAUCUUGGGGAAGAGCGCGUGGAUGCGGUCGGCGAGGUUGAAACGGUCGUCGUCGUUGAUGAAGUCCUCCUCCUCCUUGAGGAAUUCCUCCCACUCCUUCAUGUGAUCGUCCGGCCCGUCGCCGUCUUCGUCGCCGUGGAGGAGGCGGUAGUGCUCGCGCUCCCACUCCUUGUCGUCCAGCCGGCGCUCCAGCUCGGCAAUGGCCGGGUCGAAGGAAGCCGCGUGGUGGUGGUGGUUCCGCUGCUGCUGCUGAUGCCCCUCGCUCCCACCGGAGGCAGCAGGGGAGGAUGGGAAGCUCUUGGGGUGGAGCUUGAGGCGGCGGUGGAGGCUGCGGCCGUGGGAGUGGGGCUGGAGGCGGGGGGAGUAGGAGGUGAGGAGAAACAGCAGGAUGAAGGCGCACGCUACGUAGAGGAGGAGCACGGUGACCGGAGACUUCCGCCCCGCCGCGGCCGUUGCCGCCGCCGGCGCCAUCGCCGGAGCAGGAGAUCGGGCGACGGGUGGAGUGAGAGGCGAGUUUGCGGGUCGGAGAUUUGGACCCGUUUAACUUAAGCAACUGCAACUCGCAACCCGCUUGGCGGUGACAUGGAAAGCACCGAUUGUGCCAAUCAGCGUUUGACACGUGGCUCGCAGAACUUUGACGCGUCCCUUGUUUGGCAUACGAAGUCACGGAGAUGAUUAGCCUCUCACGAAAUCACAAAACCCAUGAUAGGCAAAUAAUCCCAGAACUCUUUGCAGGUGACACAAAGUAUUCAGGAUAGCAGAUAACACAGGUGACAAGCCCUCAACACAUUAUCUGAAUAAAAUGCAGCACCAUUCAUUGUGGCACUGCACUAGAGUGGUAUUGUGCCGAGAUACAGAGGGUUACUAUGUUGAGUACUUCAAAUAUGGCCCUUCUGGUACAAAACAAGGCUGCAAAAAGUAGCACCCGGCUCAGCUAGUUCCAGAAUCCAGAUUGUAUGAUGAUCUAAAGGCUGUUCAUCUGAUUCGGAGAAGCUGAUCGAGGUGCGCUCGGCGACCCAAAUUAUGUCUUCAGAGGAGCUUUCUUCACCCGGUCAGAUAUCCGAUCUGGAGCAUUCGUGUGGGACUUGAACCGGCCUCGCCCACCCUCCUCCUUUUCCUGAAAGUUGUUCAUAGGUUUAGCACCUUUGCAGCUAUUGGUUGUAUGGUCGGCAUACACAACCAUUGAAAGCCAAAAAAGAAAAAGAAAAAAAAUGGUGUGUAAACUGCAUAUGCUUCCAGAUGUGACCAACUCAGCCAAAGGCAGAUCAUAACCUUCUUCUUUACUAUCUGGACGACAUCCUCGUCUUGAAGGCCAUGGCUGAGCCCACAAUGCUGUGGAUAGUGCCUUGCACUGGUUCCCCAUACAAGCACAUAUUUCACAUCUUUGAGCAAGCUUCUAUGGAUAUGAUUGCAGAAGUCUUCAACUGUGCAUCCACCUCUAUCCUGAUGGCACAAAAAAGGCUGUCAGACAAAUUGUUCCCCCCGGCUCCGUGGAACAGCAACAGGUGAAAAAAAGCAUAGUGGGGCAGAGAACGUACAGUAGAAAGAACAACUGGAUCCGUGAAAUCAGGUUGCUGGCCCUGUGGCUUGGUGUACACCCUCACUAGACCCAUCUCCUCCCACAUUCUUGCCAGUAGCCUGUCCAAGUUCAGCUGUACAGAACAAUUUUUUUCAGUAACAUGAAGAUAAAACGAUAAGACAACAAGAUCAACAGAGCAUUUUACAAAACUCAAUAUUACAGUGCGCACUGCCAUUUAAAGAUGGUGAUACAGCAGUAUAACUUUAUGUGGAGACAAAUCAAGGAUCGUAAGAAAAAUUGAUAAAGAUGCAGGUGACAGAUAAAACAUGCCUUCAAGUUGCAGCUGAUCACUAGUGAAUUUGGUUGCCGAGCAAGAUUAUCCACAUCAUCAAUACCAACAACAUCAAUCUUGUUAUAUACAUAAACACACUUAAUGUACUUUCGAUUUCCUUCAAUGACAUCGAUGAGAUCAUCCACAGUAGCAUCUUCGCGGAAUAACACCUAAAAUAAACAGAAUAGUUGAGCCCACUGCAAAGACAUGCACAUGCGCACACCCAAGCAAGUGCAUCCACAUACCUCAGCAUUGUGAAUUUUGUACUCGUGCAAAAUCUGAUAGCAGAGCUUCUCAUCAAUAUGAGUCAAAGGUGCUGUGGUGUUGAAAGAAAUCCCACCAGUCUUCUUCCUUUUGAAGUAUAUCUAUUUGUACAAAAGGACAUAAUUAAUCGAUCAGGAUGGAACAUAGAAGGUAUUAAUGCAGAUGUAAAAUGAAAACACUUCAUAAAACAGAAGCAACACAGGAUAGUUGGCCACACAGACUGCAUAUUUAGGUCCCAUCUUACCUAAUUAGGUCAGCGAUGAAACAACUUAUGCAGUUAAAGGUAGAAAUGUUCACUAUGAAGUAUUAAGAGAUUUAUGCCCUUUUAAAGCUGCCCAUAGAAAUGACACACAGUUCUCCAGCAUGUUCGAGAAAAAAAAAGCUGCCCACAGCAAGUCAAACCUUAAGUUACACUCUCCUUCCCAGGAUAUCCAACGGCCAACAAAUUUGGUAUGAAAUUUGCGUAUAGAGUUCAGUGCCCAAUGUAUUAAAAGGAACCGCAGAUACAAAUAGAUGCGACCAAUUCAAUAAAAGACAAAAAAAUAUGAACUAGUGUCUUGUGAAGAUACAACACUGGUUAUAUACCACUGAUAGAACUUGCAGGACUGCAUCAUGGGCCCCAAGCCCACCCAUAACCAGUUCUUGAUGAUACUUUAUGAGGAAAUAACAUAUGUUCCUGCGGUAGAAAGGGCUAUGUAACAAGAAUGCUAACCUAAGGCAGCUCAAACAUUUGGCUACAUGACAAUUAGGAAUACAGUACUAGCACAGGAAAAUACAAUUAGUUGAUUCAGCUACGGUUCGCUGAAUUGUGUACCUAAUCUGGUCACAUAUACAUGGGAUCAGUUAAAUCACUGCUAUAUUUUUCAGACCCACGCAAUGAAAACCAUCCAAUACAGAUUGUGGAGCACCAUGUCUCCAAGGUGCCAUGGGAAGUGGCAUUCAUCUGUUCCCAACUUCCAGUUGAUGAUUCAGACACUGCCUUGUAUUGUAGGUUAUAAACAGAGAAUGUUAAGCAUCAUGCCCAGGAUGUACAGGAUGUUCUUUUUCUUGGAACCGUAUGAAAAGAAUGCCUUAUUUGAGUGCCUACUAAAGCUUCAGUGUUACAUAUAGUAUCCUUCUCGAUCUUUCUCUACAUCCAUUUCUAUUUCACAUUUUCAAGUAGUACAUACCUGGGGAGGCCUUUUGUUGAGACGGAGCCCAACGGCUUCCAGUUCUCUUGUUAAUAUUUGGCGAUGUCCUUCACUCUGAAACAAAAUUUAGAACAUAAUAAACAAAUGGAAUCAGGUCCUGUUUUGAUUCUGUGUAAUCAUCUUACAGAUUUAAAACAAAACACUCAAUCACACACCACCAUUUUGGCAUGUAAUCGUCCACCCUUGAUCUAAUUACAGAUUUGAAACAAAAAACACCUCCAGUAAGAUUUCGCUUGGACUUUCAAGCAACUAUAUAGAAAGGUUCCACAAAGAUUUCAUAAGAACUUUCAAGUAACCACAUUGCUUCAGAAAGGCAGUGUGUAGAUGUCUCUAUUCAAGAAGUUAGCAAUGUUUUUCACCAUAUAUACAGUCCUAAAUAAUACAGAUAGAUUCAAAUCUAAAAAACUAGCUAAGUAAUAAUGCAGGCUGACUGCUUUCAAUGUAGAAAUAAGGAUUAGUAUGCAAACUUACAACGAAGAGUGCCUCCUAUGCCACGGAACCUUAGUGUUUCCCCAAUUUACCACUGAAAUUUUGCUCUUUCUACAGUGUCUACUUUAGUUUUCCCUGCCCCUUCUCGCCAUUAAAGUUUGAGGAAUGUUAACAAAAGGGCAAAACAACCACCAUAGCCCUGUCUAGCCAAGUCCCAUGGUGGAGACGGGAGACCUGCCUGACAUUGAUUUUCCUAGGCCCUAUCUUUGUUGUGAUCACCCAAUUUCACUCUAAUUUUUUUAUCCUUUUAGGACCUUUCCUAUGUCUCUUCAUUUUCCCUUUUUAAACCUUUCUUUUUAUUCUUUUUUUUAUUUUCUCUCUGUUUAUUUUUUGUUGAAUAAAUUAGAAAUACUCCAACAAGGCCAUUCAGUAAUAUGAAAUGUAUUUGCUAUGUAAGCUGGUGGACAAACUUGACUUCGGAAGUAGCUAAGGUCUUCAUACUCAAAAGGAUUCUGCUAGGAACAUGUGCGAUUUGGGCUAUUGUCAGGAACCAUGUCAAAUUAUGGGGACUGCAGCAUGCGUGAUUUCUUUAGUCAGGAACUAUAUCAAAUUAUGGGGACUGAAAUUUUCAAUCCAUCCAUGAGAAACACGCUACCCAACAGACUUGAACAUCUGCUCCAUCUCUUCUCUCCUAACGUAAAAUCUUAACUAUGCUUCAAACUUAGGUGUUCUAAAGAAAGAGUAAAGGGAAUGCAAAAGCAAUGUAGGCAUAUAGCAAAGAAUGUUCAGUUAACCAAUAACCUUUGAUGCAUCCAGGACCAUCAGUACAAGGUCUGAUGACUUCGCAACAGCAAUAACCUGAAAAUUGAAACAAUAUAUAGAAAAUAAAAUAAAUGAUUUGUGGGUAGAGGAAGUCAGCAUCCAUAAGAAUAAUUAACUAUUAGCAGCAAUUACCUGCCUACCACGCCCCUUGCCUUCAGAGGCUCCUUCAAUGAUACCGGGAAGAUCAAGAAGCUGGAUUUUGGUAUCAUUGUAGUGAAUAAUUCCAGGAAUGCAGGUGAGGGUUGUGAACUCAUAUGAUGCAGCUUCAGAAUGUGUCCCGGUCAACAUAGUUAAAAGGGUUGACUUUCCAACACUGCAAGAUAUAUAUGCAGUCAAAAUACAUAAGACAUCUUGUUAUUAUAAUCUGAGCGGUUGACUAAAUUGACCAUUUUUUGCUUUGCAUUACCAAAAAGACAAAAAGAAUCAAAUUUCAUCUUUUUACUGAAACAAAACAAAUUUCAGCUUAUGUUAGUAAGACUACAUGAAAAAGAACAUACAGUAAUAUUAAGCAAUAGAAAGUAUGACAUAAAGUACAAAUUGGAUCAGUUCAUCACAUAUUCACAUAUCUCAUUUCUAUAUACAAGGUAAUAGCUAUGAGUGUUAGUUUCAGAGACAUACAUGCCUUGAAAGUACAAGGCAGCAGAUGAAUGCCAAAUACAUAGUACUCCAAUCGACUACAACAGAGCCCACAUGCCACAGAUCCAAUUGUAGAAACUGAGGAGGAUUGAGAUACAAAACUUUACAGUACUCGAGUCAUAGGCAAAAGAUAGUAGACCUGGGAAAUCCAAUAAGCGCAACACGACCAUGCCCGAACUUUGUGACUUCAAAUCCAUCUCCUCCUCCACUGGAACCCUGUAUGACCAAAAUGAGAAGUCAGGUGCGACAAAGCAAAUGAAAGGAACUCCCAUGUAAAUACUACUUAGCCUUUUUGAUACUAUAUUACUCCCUCAGUCCCAAAUUUCUAUUCGUUUUGGCUUUUCUAGGUACAUAGCUUUUGAUACGCAUCUAGAUAUAUACUAUGUCUAGAUACCUAGCAAAAGUUAUGUAUCUAGAAAAGCCAAAACGAAUAGUAAUUUGCGAUGGAGGGAGUACCACUUAGAAAGCCUGAAGGAAUGAAGGAACAUCAGCAUAGCUUACUUGAUGAUCAUUUUUGUUGCCCAAAUUACAAUGCAAAACUAUUAUAAACAAAAAUUCAAGAUGCUGAUAUUGUUUCCCAAUCCAUCGAUACCUUUGGAGGCUCCAAUAGUUGUGUCCUCAACUUUGCUAACUUUGCCUUCAGUUGUCCAAGAUGAUAUUCUGCGUGGAAAACAAAGAAAAAAUAAUAUUAACAGAUACAAUAUGCAAGACCAACUCCACACAAGAUUACCAACUAUAAUACAAUGCUGCAAAUUAGGGGGAAAUGAAGCAAACAAGAUAUACUUAAUCAAUUAAGUACAGACAUUUAUGCCAAGUUUAUUUAGGAAAAAAAUGACAGUAGUAUGAUCAAGAGUUGUGACCUACAUAUUAGUGCACAUACAGGAUAUUAUUUGACUAUACUUCCUCAUUGCAACAUAUACAAUGAUACCCUUGGUUGAUUUGAUUUAAACAGAAAUGUAAUAAAACAAAAGGAACGUUGUUCAAUCCAGUAGUCAUUAAUUAUACAUGUCUACAGUGAAUGCCCAAAUGAUACAGCUUGUUGCCAUUAACCAAGACAUCUAUGGCACAGAACAGCAAUAUAAUCAGAGAUUGUAUACACAAACAUGCUGAACGGCAAUUUCAUGAUCAGAUACGUGUAACAGUGAUAUGUGGCAAAACAGUUUCAUUCAAAAGGAAUGAAAAUAAAAGACAGUGAGCACACAAAGAUGAGCAUGAAUUGCAUAAUUGUAAUGGUGGAAGAAGUGAAGACAGCAAACCUGUUGCUUUGUUUUUCUGCGUCCGAGCCAUCUCGGCCUCAAUCUCCUUGAUCCUCUCAAGGAUACCCAUCUUCUACACAACUUGCUCUGGGGCCUGGGGGCAGAGGUAAUUUCUGCCAAGUAAUAAAGAAAAGAACCUUGGUAAGCAGGGACGGACCCAGUUUUGGACAUGGGUGAACACUUGUACACCUGAUAGUUGCUUAAAAAAAUUCGAAGUUUAGAAGUAAAUGGUCAGAUCCAAAUCUAUAGCAUACAUCAGGGUUUGGGGGUUCAAUUUCGCACCGCAGGAAGGGAAGGGAAUUGGCGGGCAUACCUGUCGGAUGUUCGUCGCCGGCGCUCGAUGAAGGCCCAGGUGGUCGCCCGACGAAAGACCUGGGCCAAGCAGGGGUGGCUGCUCGCCUUGUCGUCGCCGCUAGGAAAUAAGGCCAAGAGGGUGGAGCGGAAAAGGAAGAGGAAAGUAGCCGGGAAACGAGGAUGACGAUGGGGGAAGAGUGGCUAGCCGGCGUGCUUCGGAGGAGGAACUGGAGGCAGGUCCGGCGGCGCUGGCGGAGGAAGGGGCCGACGAACUGGAAGAUUCUUCGAGGUGUGCGCCCUUCGUAUCAGUGGCGAUAGGUCGGGCCUGUUCGCUACACAUUUUUGGGCCGGCUGCAGCUGUGACUGUUACAGCCCUCGGCUGUGGGCCAAACAGCUGAAGGAGCUUUUUUUUUCUUCAAACGUUUGGCUUCGCCGAUUUGAACACUGCCAAUAAUGAAUUAGCCGAUUUGCCGAUCAUAACACCUGCAACCGCCACUAUGCUGUUUCCAAUCCAUUUUAAUUCUCUCUCCCAUAUAUACCCACGUGAAAUGACAAUCUUACCUCUUAUACAAACUGUUACCUGUAGAUCCCUGGGAACUUUUAGGGAUUUAUUUCCCUGUCAAAUUUUGUUUAAAUCGGUCAAGUAAAGAGCAUUUGAAAAAAUGUAGGUAAUGGUUGCAGUUUGCUGUUACUCUGCACAUUCCUUGUUAACCUGAUCGAUUUGCAAAGUUCAUCCAGGAAUUUUGAUACGGAAGCUAGCAGCCACCAGCCAGUUUCUGUGGCUUAAUCUAUGCACUAGUGCAAGUCGUGGACACUGAACUCUAAUGAUCUGAUAGAUAGUUUGCUUGCUCCUUGCAGAAUAAUUUGCUUGCUCCUUGUCAUAAAUCUGCGAUGUGCAAAAACUACAGCUGUAAUCUUUCCACUGUGUCCAGUCAACAAUGGAAUUUAGUCUUGUAAACAUAGCAGUUAAGCAAAGAGGUAGGGAAAUGUGUUGUGCGCAUCAUCAUUUACCUGUAUUAAUCUGUAUCAUUACUGAAUCAUUAUUUUGUUAAUAAAAAAGUAACUGAUUUAGUACAGAUAGCCUGACUUGGUAAAUAUUUUGGUUUCCAGAUAUUUACCUAGAACCGGUGCUUAAUGGAAUGCUGAUAAUGUCUAAACUUCCUCCAGUGUUCAUGUGAGAGGUUCAUAGUACGUUCCUCUACUUGGAUUAUCUGCUCGGCGCCAUCAUCUCCUGGUAACUUUAUCUUGCUCGUCUGGUGCUAAUAGUCCUUGUAGAUGGCUAGUACUUUUCGUGGAUGCAUAUUAGCUUGGUUGUCUGUUUGAUAUAGAACUAGUUUAAUCCACGGUUGCUCGGUGGAUGAUGUUUGGGCUAGUUUAUUUGUUUAAAUGUAAAUUCGAAUGUGACCCAUUCCUAGUAGGAUCUGGUAGUGAAUAACGUGAGCCUGGUGAACUGAACGUCUACCCAGAAUCACUUAUUCUAAAUCAAUCUUUCAAUUUAUAUUUAAUUGCUUUGAAUUUUUGCUCCUAGUAUUGCCAAGAAUUGGUUAUUUUCCAUCUAGUAGCAUUUAGUACUAUAGCCUCGAAUCUGCAUAUAACUGUAACCGUGCUUCCCUUUUUCUCUUGCAUAAAGUUUCAUAUGUUACCAAUCUCUUCGACAAUUUUUUAUGCCUUGCUGUUAAAUAUGUGCAGAGCCGUGCAGGUAUUUGGCAUGCCCACAUUGUUAGGACAUGUACCUUUAUCAUCAAUAUAUCACUCCUGUGAUUAUGGCAGUAAUGAUUAUGUAUGGAUUGAUACUAUUCUCCUAACUUUUAUGGUCGCAUUAUGAUCAGAUGCAAAAACAUGCUCGCCAAGGUUCUCAGAGCAAGCAUUUCUAGUGCCUCAAGUACAACUAGUUGAUCUGCAAGGACCGAGACUCAUUUCAGCAUUUCUGUGGCGUAGCUUCAACAAUUCAGCAUAACUCUAUAAUUUUAAUAAUUUGUGUCGAUGACACUUGAAGAUUUGGUUGAUAAUCUGCAAGAUUUUUUAUCUUCUUCUUUGAAUCAGGCUUAUUUUAUAUACUGGUUUUCAUUUUUAUAAUUCCUACGAUGAUAGUAACUACUACUGGCUAGCUAACGUUAGUAACAACCUAGCACCUUGCAGCAGAUAGUGGGGAAUCGUCUACAACUUGUUUGAUUACAUACUAGCUAGCUAAUAGGUUCUUAUUGGAUUCUAACCAUAGUUAGCUAACAGUUUGUAUCUGGAAAGUUUGGGGAAAGCUUAGGGUGGUAUGGUGUCUGGUGAUGGAGGUUUGAACUGAAGUGGAUUAUAUUUGUUUUCUCGUGAGAAUGGGUUGGUGGGGUUAUAGCUUAGGUUACAGCCCAAUUAGCAGGGCUACCAACAAUAUAAUGGUUCAUUCAUUCAUAAUGAGUUCAUAAAUUCAGUCAGCUUCGUUGUAAGGUCCAGGCUGCAACCAUUUAACAUACAUACCAUAAUUUGAAAUAGCAGUCAUCACAUAGUUUAGAUAGCUGAACAAAAUAGCAGAGUCAUCACAUAAUUUAGAUAGUUCAACAAAAUAGAGCACUUUCAUUAUACAAGAGGGUUUUAGUAGCUCUUCCAUGUUCCUUUUCCUCGUCUUUGAAGUAAUCUUUUUAGUAGCAGUCUUGCUAGCAGUCUUAACUGAAGCUAUUGGUGUUCUUGGAGUAGCAGGAGGUGCUGCAGUGCUCUGAUUGGAAGUGCCUUCUCCCCUAAGCAUCGCUAGACGCCUGCAUAUGAAAAUAAAAACAGAUUAGGUAAAGUCGCAAACAAUGAUACAAAGCAAUUUUAGCACAAGGAGCAUCAUUACCUUCUUGUGAGUGUCCCAGGACUAUCUUCUAAUAGUGGACCCUUUGUAUUGUUAGACUUCGCAGGUGUAGAAUCAGUUCUCAACUGCUUUGUUUUAUUUUUCCUAGGCUUCCUCAGCUUCUUUUUUUGCCAUUUAGUGGACAUUUGCAGCUAGCCUAUCUAUAGCCCUUAUUUCCACAUCUUCGGCAUGUCAUUGGGCCUCUAAUCAUUAUCUUCUCCUUCCCUUUUCUAUGUUUUUCUCUUCCUCAUUAUCCUUUCCUGCUACCCCCCUCCAUUCUUUCGCUGUCUUCCUACUCCCCUUUUCCCAAGAGGUGCCCCUAAGACAUAGCCAAGGUUAAGCUUAGGCCACUAACUUCUGUCAGUCAUUGGUUCAAUCACUCCUUGACCCUCCUUGAUAUGCUGCUAUAAACCUUUGAACCGAGAAGAACUCAUGAACAUAAUCAUUGAAUGGGACUUACUUUUGUGUCGUUAGAAAAGUCAAGGAAUGUUCACAUGGUUUACCUGUGUGUUGCCACUCCUCACAAGUGCAUGUUCUGUCCAAUAAUUUGACAACAUGCCUCACAUGGUUAUCUCUACUAUUGUCCCAAACUUCUGCAGAAAAUCUAGCAGAACUGACAACUCUCAGGUGUCCUAAUCCUCUAGUCCUUACCCUUAGUUGAAGCCUUACAGUUGGUAAUAACCAUCCAUGAAACCUUUCUCCCAUCCUUCUUCUCUUAUCCCAUAGUACCAUUAUCAUUUCCCUUAUCUUGUCAGCUAGCUCUGUAAUAGGCAGGUCUUUAUAGUCUUUUAUCCAGUUAUUAAACACCUCAGUAAUAUUCUUUGUUAUGUAAUCACAUUUGAUGGCUGGGUUGAAAGCACACCUCAUCCACUUCAAGUGAUGGUACUGAGCUAGAUUCUUCUCCACUUUAGAAUUUGCAUCCAAAUUUUUUUCAUGUGAUGAUCAAAAGCAGCAGUUCUAUAUGCUCUUGCAGCAGGAUACAUCCUUUCAAAUGUGUCACCAGAAUACUUCCUUAUGAAGUUUUGCAUCAAGUGUCUAAAGAAUUCCCUACGUUCAGCUUGAGGGAAUACUUGCCUAACUGCAUUUUCCAAACCUUUACAAGCAUAUGUACAGAUGGCCAAAGGGGAAGCAUUCCCUAGUGCUUUAUUGAGCUGACUCAUUUACCAAACCCAAUUAUCUUCGAUUUCGACGACUUCACCUUUUGCCAGCCGUCGAUGCUCGGCCCAAGCUGCACCUCGUAAUGGUGGACGUCGUACGGAGGCAACCUGGCCGUAGCAUGCAACAGCAGCGCCGGCGCGGCUAGCGACUCCCUUCGGGUCAUCAUGUUGCCUAACCAUCUCGUCGACGGCGGACGAUGCAUAGGCGAGCGCCAUGGCGGGGGCCUCCGGUACAUGGAAUCCAACCGACGGGUGCUCCAGGUGUGGGAUGCGUAGGAUGGAGGCCUUGGCAUGUCAUCCUGGGCGCUGAUGCACAGGGUUGGCGCCGCGGAGCUGAUGGAGCUGAUGCACAAGGAAACCAUAAAAAGGCAUGGAAAAUGUGAUAUGCAGUGAAGUGUGAACAUACGUUACACAACCAAUCGCAGGUAGUAAUCACCAACGAGUCCAGAUUAUUUUGACUGAUCGGUGCUUGACGUGCGUGUAGCAGUGUGGGUGGAGGGUUGUGGGAGGUUUGGCAGCAGCAAUCCUGUUGUACGAGACCCGUACGUCCAUACUAAAUGUUCACUUUUCGAACACUCUAUUCCGCCAAUACUAAUGUUCAUUUUAAUUUUGUCGCUGCUCACGCACGGAUCACUCAUCUUAGGGCGUGAUUGGUUGCCCGCGUCCCACCGUCCGCUGCAUGACCCCGAAGCAUCCCGUGCACUCUCGCGUGUUCGGUUGCUCUCCCGGAACCGAAACGGCGCACCCCCCCGUUCGUUUCCCCCACUCCAUCCCGCAUCGCCCCGUCCGCCCAGAGGGCUCCUUCGCUCGCGAGCCGGGAUGGAGCGAUGCUGGCGGGAAGAUUUGGGCGGAGGGCGGGAGAUGGCGCCGUAUCGGGGCUAAAGGCGCGGGAGGUUACGGUGACCUCCCAUCCUCAGCCCACUUUCUUCGCUCCCCUCCUCCCCGGUGCGCCUUCUCCUCUUCCUCCUCCUGUUCGACCUCGGUUCGUCGGUAGCUCGAGGUACUCCGGCGGCGCCCUGUGCCCCCACCGGUGCUGCGACUGUACAUCUCCCCCUCCUCUUUACGCUGCUUCAUCCCCUCUCCCUCGUUGAUCUGUCGAUUCGUAUUUUUUUCGUUGGUGUCGAUGAACCCUAGGUUAUUGUUCUGUCAGAUCCGUGCGCUCCUUUUGUGGAUUUAAGGUUGUGAUGAACCCUAGGUACUUUUCCGAUGCAGAUCUAUGGUUCUCACAUGUGUAGAGGUCGAUCUGAUUUUUUUUUGGUUCUUGUACCAUCCUAUAUGUGGGUCGGGGUCCUCCGGCGGCAACCUGUGCCUCCGCCGGUCCUGCGACGGUACAUCUUGGUUGGUUUUCAUGAACCCUAGGUUGUUUGUGCAUCUGCAUUUAUGGUUUUCAUGAACCCUAUGUUCGUUCUUAUGCGGACUAUGGUUGUCAUGUAUAUUUGUCGAUCUGAUUUCUUGUGUCCUUAAAUCAUGCCUUACUGCUUUGCAAGCAAUCACGCCCUACUGAGCUGAGCAAAGUGCCUAGGUCGAUGAUGAUUCCUUGCCGCCGGAGGAGCACCUUCGGGUGUGGCAGCCGCGUCUAGGAUAAAAUGUAGUUGAGAAUGUUUGCUUGCUUAACAACAUGACCCCAAGUUCUUGUAUACUGAGCUCUAAUGAACACUGCAUUGUAUUCUUAGACAUGGACUUGCAAGGUAGGCGCCGAGCUGCGGCUGCUCUUGUUGCUGCUGUUGCUGCAUGAUUUUUCUUGUGGUUUAGAAGGAGAAGUGAGGAUGCUCGAUCUAUUACCUAUGGUCCCAUGGCAGAGAGGGACAGAGAGAGGAAUAGCAACCUCAGAUUCAUUUAUGAAUCUGAUGAUGUGCAUUGUGUCAACCUGCUAAGGAUGAGAAGGGCACCUUUUUUUCAACUGUGUGACCUGUUUCGGUCUAGAGAGUUGGUUGUGGAUAGCAUCCAUGCCACUGUUGAAGAACAGGUAGCAAUGUUCUUGCAUGUAGUGGGACACAACCAAAGGUUCAGGAUCAUUAACAUGACAUUUAGGAGGUCACCUGAAACUAUCAGUAGGUUCUUUCAUCAAGUCUUGUAUGUAGUUGGUGAGUUGAGAAAUGAGUUGAUUGUACCACCAUCCACUAGUGUCCAUCCUAGGAUCCUUGGCAGCAGGAGAUGGAACCCAUAUUUCAAGGUUGGUGGCCCUUUCCUAAUUGCAAACCAAUUGACCUUACCCAUAUGGUAGCAACCUGUUAAUAUGGCUUUUUAUUUUUAGGAUUGCAUAGGAGCAAUUGAUGGGACACAUGUCUUAGCUAGAGUGCCUUUGAAGAUGCAAGGUUCCUUUAGAGGCAGGAAGCACACCAUCACUCAGAAUGUACUGGCAGCAGUGGACUUUGAUCUAAGGUUCACAUAUGUGCUUGCUGGUUGGGAGGGAUCUGCACAUGAUGCUCUGAUUUUAUCAGAUGCUCUUGAAAGGGCAGAUGGUCUUACAGUCCCACAAGGUACCAUAACUAACAUACACACAUGCCAAUAAUACUUGCACACACUAAACUGAUAAACCAUCUCCAUUUGUUACAUUGUCUAGGGAAAUUCUAUCUUGUGGAUGCUGGAUAUGCAGCCAGGCCUGGGUUCCUGCCGCCAUAUCGUGGUACAAGGUACCACUUGAGGGAGUUUGGUUCAAAUAGGCCACAAAAUCAAAGAGAGUUGUUUAACCUGAGGCAUUCUUCUCUUAGGGUGACAGUAGAGAGGGCCUUUGGUGCUCUAAAGAAUAGAUUCAGAAUCCUUGAUAACAAGCCUUUCCAUCCUUACAAAACCCAAGUUAAGUUGGUUCUUGCCUGUUGUAUUCUGCACAAUUGGAUACUUAGGCAUGGACAAGAAGAACAUGUUCCCACUGAAGCUGCUUGGACUCCUAACUCCACUGAUACCCCCCCUGAUAGCCCCCCUGAGCCAGAACAUAGUCCUGAUAAUGGAACCUGGGCACAGCAAAGGGAUACAUGGGCUGCACAAAUGUGGCAGAAUAGGGGAUCUUCUAGAGUUUAAUUGCACUUAAGUACUUGGGGUCAUGUGCUGUUAAGUAGCAUUGAUGAAUUUGUAAUAUGGUCUGAGACCUUGGUACUUUGCUAUGAUGUGUAACUGCAAUCAUGAACAAUACAACUUGGUAUGAUAUUUGCAUGCAGUACUUACUUUCCUGUUUGAUUUCUAAGUGCUUUGGUGUUUCUUUUUGUGAUGGUAUGAUGGUUAGGACAUGGCUGUGAUGGGUGAGGAUGUGGUUGGUGUUGUCAAUGAGGCAGGGGCCGAGGGUGGGGUGGCUGCUGUGGAGGAAGGGAACCCAGCAGCCCCUCCACCCAAUGGAGCCCAGCCUGGGGGGCCAAUGCAAUGGACCAGUGUUCAGUCAGCCUUCAUGCUUAGGAGGUUUCAUGAUCUGGUUGGGCAAGGGGUCAAAACUGACAAAGGCUUCAAGGAAGUGCAUGUUAGGCAAGUUGCUAGGAUGGUUUCUGAUUUUGCUGAAGUCAAUAUUACCACCAACCAAAUUUAUAACCACCUGCGCAAGUAGAGGCAGAGGUGGGUUAAGAUUGCUAGGCUCAAGGAUCUCAGUGGUGCUCUCUGUAAUGAGGACCAUCAUAUGAUAGUCCUUGAGGAGGAGCAUCUGAUAGGGCACACUAAGGUUAGGCCACAGCUUAAAUAUAUCUCACUGUUAUGGUUAAUAGUUACCCUUUUCUCUAACUGUUGCACAACCUUUUUGCCCAACUAGGAUCAUCCUGCUGAUGCCAAGUUCUUGAACACCCCAAUUGAGAACUAUGUCCAAAUGGAGGCCAUUUUUGGGUCUAGUCAGGCUACUGGUAGGUUUGCAAUGGGUUCCAAUGAACCUUUAGGUGUACCAACUGACCUUGGCCACCUUGAGGGGGGAUGUUAGAACAGAGACAAUUAAUUUAGAUGGGAAUGAGGGUGAUUCUGGUAAGCAAAAUGUAGGCUCCAAUGGGCUGGACACCUCUAAGAGUUCUGAUGAUAAGGAAGGAAGAGGUGGUAAAAGGAGGAAGUUGGGUGAGGAAGAAUACCAGCUGAUGCAUGGUAUGACUGUUGCUGUUGCCUCUGUUGCAGAUGCCCUGAAAGCUCCUCAGCACAAUGAGGUCCAUGCAGAUCUUUAUGGUUGUGUCAUGUCCUGUCCUGGGUACUCACAGGAGGCCUUGAUGUUUGCACUUGUGUACUUGCUGAAGAACAAAGCAGAAGGCCUAUGCUUUGUUCAGAUGAGUGAAGCCCAUAGGAUCCUUUGGCUUAGGACCUACCUGAGCCAAUCUAACUUCCUCUAGGUGGUUAAGGACUAUUAUAUGAUAUUUUGCUUGCCUAUGCUACAGUCUGACAUUUUGGGUUAGCACUAACCACUAAUGGUGAGGGUAGAGACACCAUUUGGAAUAUUUCCAAGGCUGCAAAUAUUUUUGUAUAGCAUAGGCCACAUGGUUCCAUCUGGUAGAGGUGGUUGGGAGGGAUCUGUUGGGUGUGUAAACAUGAACACCUGCACCUGGUAAAUGUGAUGGAUGCCAUGUCUUUGUUCUGGUAAAUUGAGCUUUCCUGGUGGUUCAUGUGCUGGUGAUGGCAAUUUUCUUUCAUCUUGGAUAGAUGUUCUGAAUUGAUGGAUGCAUAUGUUUGGUUCAAAUGAUUGAACCUGUGCCUAUGAUGAUAAACUUAUUUGCCCAAUUCAAAGUAGAUGGGUACCAUCGGAUGACCUUGAGCUUGUGAGUGACUAUGACAUUGAUCUUGUUCUUAAGACCUGCUACUGCUUUUGUGCUACCUGGUAAGUCCAUCUUCUUUUCAUCUUUCCUAUAUGUUGGUUGCUUCCUUCUGCCUUGAUGGUUACUUAUGUUAUUUAAGGUACGAAAAUAUGCCUAUGAUGAUAAACUUAUUUGCCCAAUUCAAAGUAUAUGGGUAGCAUCAGAUGACCUUGAGCUUGUGAGGGACUAUGACAUUGAUCUUGGUGUUCUUGUUGCCAACUAGUACUGCAUGUUCCUUACUUAUGGUUGUGCUGUUGCUGAGCUAUUGACCAUGUUGUGCUGCCACUGUUAUUUCUGUUGACAUUGAUGUUGUUCCUGUUGCCAUUGUGCUACUGUUUUUGGUCUUAUUUUGCUCUUGUGUCACUGAUGCUCCAAGCUUAAGGUCAAGGGAAGAUGAAAAUAACAUCUGAGGCCAAUUUUUUUGUAACUUAGCAUAUCAGACUUCCUAUUAUCAUACAUAUACCUUUGCAAAUUGGAUAAUAUGCAAAUUGGGUUACCUAUCUUGGUUACCCAACAUUUUUGUUGUUGUUGAAUCUAUCACUGCUCUUUCUGUUGGCAGUGUUGUUGAUCCUGUUACCUCUGUUGCAAAUUGGGUAACCUAUCAUGCUUAUGGCACAUUAUUUUUACUGUCCACCUCCCUGGUACUACUUGUUCUUUUUUUCUGGUUGUGCUGUUGAUGAUAAACUUAUUUGCCCGAUGGGUACCAUCACAUGACCUUGAGCUUGUGAGUGACUAUGCCAUUGUUCUUGUUCUUAAGACCUGCUACUGCUUUUGUGCUACCUGGUAAGUCCAUCUUUCUUUCAUCUUUCCUAUAUAUUGGUUGCUUCCUUCUACCUUGAUGGUUACUUAUGUUAUUUAAGGUACGAAAAUAUGCCUAUGAUGAUUGGAAUAUUUGCCUAAUUCAAAGUAUAUGGGUAGCAUCAGAUGACCUUGAGCUUGUGAGGGACUAUGACAUUGAUCUUGUUGUUCUUGUUGCCAACUAGUACUGCAUGUUCCUUACUUAUGGUUGUGCUGUUGCUGAGCUAUUGUCCAUGUUGUGCUGCCACUGUUAUUUCUGUUGACAUUGAUGUUGUUCCUGUUGCCAUUGUGCUACUGUUUUUUGUCUUAUUUUGCUCUUGUGUCACUGAUGCUCCAAGCUCAAGGUCAAGGGAAGAUGAAAAUAACAUCUGAGGCCAAUUUUUUUGUAACUUAGCAUAUCAGACUUGCUAUUACCAUACAUAUACCUUUGCAAAUUGGAUAAUAUGCAAAUUGGGUAACCUAUCUUGGUUACCCAACAUUUUUGUUGUUGUUGAACCUAUCCCUUGGUACUGCUUCUUUUUGGUUCUGUUGUUGCUCAGAUGUUGUCCUGGUAGUUGCUCUUUCUGUUGGCAGUCCUGUUGUUUCUAUUGCCUCUGUUGCAAAUUGGGUAACCUGUCAUGCUUGUGUCAUAUUGUUUUUGUUGUCGACCUCCUUGGUACUGCUUGUUCCUUUUUUUCUGGUUGUGCUGUUGUCAUACUUGUCAUUCUAUUGCCAAUGACCUGUUGUUUCUGUUGCCAUUGUCAUACUGUUUGUGGUCUGCUAUUGAUCUAGUGUCACUGAUGCUCCAAGCCCAAGGUUAAGAGAAGAUGCAAAUAAAAUCUGAGGCCAAUAGUUACUAUAUCCACCUUUUCUUUUAUCAUUCAUCUACAUUUGCAAUUGAAUCAAGUUUCAUUUCCUUUAUAAGGCACAAUGUCUUGGUACGUUGUGUACCGUGGUAGGAAGCCUGGAGUGUAUGUAACUUGGGUAACCUGUCAUCAGCAGGUCACCGGUUAUCCAAACUGUUGCUACAAGAGUUUUAGUUCCAAAGAGGAGGCAAUUGCAUCUUUCCUAGAGUGCACUGGUGACAAAGAUGUCAAAGAAGCGACUGACGGUUCAAAAAAGACGACAAAUGAACUUAGUUGGCUCCAUAUCGUAGUUACGCUACAAUUUAUUGUUAUUAUUGUACUCCUACUACUAGUUAAUUAUCUUUGGAAGUAGUCAAGCACGAGAUCAGCCUUUGUAAUAUUAAAACAUCUCAUGUUCAUCAUCUUUGUUGGUAACCUCACCAAUAUGGUGCUAGGGUGCUCCGAUCUCAUCCAAUUCUAUGUACCAAACACAAUCUAGUGACUCCUGUCGUACACGAGAACGAUACAACCAGAACAACCAAACACAACCUCGCAUGAUUCAGACCGACAGCAAAGUGCAACCAAACAAACCCCCCUGUAUCGCUCUAUUCCGUCUCCGACGAUCCAGUACAACCCAUCCGUUCUGGACGGUCCGGUCCUUUGCAACCAAUCACGCCCUUAAUGAAUACACGUACGCAAUCCCUUACAUUAACAUAUACAGUACUAAGUAGUCACUAUCAAAACAUGGUCAAUUUAAUAAAACCAAUUUAUAAUGUUAUAGACAUGUUAAUGUAUUUUUCAAAGAAUUCAUCAAAGUUAGAGAUGUUCAGCUUAAAACAAAUCUAAAUGAACUAAACGAGGGAGUAGCAUGAACCUGACCACCCGGCCGUGAGCUCGUCACCGCUACUCCGUGCUCUGGUAAACUGAUGCUCUAACGAACUGUAAGCUAGGCACAACAGACAUCCUCCGACAUUUUUAAUCCUCCAAAGUCGGAGCAUACCGUCAGACCACACCACCACAAACAACCACAACCAUUUUCCAGGUCAAAUACUCAGUUCCUCCGUGGUAUUCAAAGUUGGAGCACAUUGUCAGAGCACAAACGACCACUGCGAUGUUUCCAAGUCAAAACACUCUUCGUGCUUUGUAUAUGGCAGAGCAUUAUUUCAUACACGGGCAAAAAUUUGAAUAGUUUGGUGUCUAAGGAUAUAUUCUGAUGUCAAAAUUAUAGUUUCCUUCUACUCCUCGAUUCUUGAUGGUUCUCCAACUGCAUCUUCCAUGCGCUGGUACCACUCACCGAUUUGAGUAUUCUCAACCAUAUCCUUUCCUGCUCUCAAGUACCGAAUAGGUCUCAGAACACCGAAGACAGCAAGGUCUGCCAAGUUAGGCUUGGAACCACCUGGAUGAACAUGUAGACAAAACAACCACAGUUACCACUGGUUCAAGAUAAUCAACUUAUUUCCCUGUUCCUAUGCAUUUUUAUUUCUUCUUUGCAAAUGAAUAAAUAGCAUACCCAGGAAAUCUCUUCCAUUCAGGGCUUCAACCCAUGUGUUGGCAGCAUCAUACAAUGAAGCACGCUCAUCAGUUAUAUUGUAUUUCUUCUUUAGCUUCUUUGACACCAUGUACAUGGCAGCAGCACCAGCAUACUUCACAGCAAACCUCUCCGUAAAACUGAAAUUACCUGCAUCACGAAGGUUUGGAGGAAUAAGAGCAUAUUGCUUGUGAAACAAGUAAUGAAAUAAUGCCUCACACAAGACAAGUAAAUUUGAGAAGUCAUCAUCAUCACAUCAGUUGGUACAGUACAAUCUCCUAAUACUUUAAACUCAUUGGAGAGAAAUCAGAGAAGCCAAAUUGCACUCAUUUUUCUGGACAGAAGUACAGGAAACAACCCUUUAUGUAUGAGACAGCAUUGACAGUUCGUAUUAGAAAAUGUGUUUAUUUGCAAAAUGCAUUAGGCAAAAAUUGCAAUCAAGUCAGGGUUCACCAAUGAUCAAGAUGAUACCGUUAUGCUGUUUGUUUGCAGGGUUCACAAGUCACAACAUCAAAUGUUUGUCAGAUAUUGGGUACAGAGCACAAACGCAAAACCAUCCAAGCAAUUUGAUGAAUGUGUUGGUAUUUCUGAGCUGAUAUAAAAUCACCAAACAAAAGGCAAAAACAUCCAAGCAAUGUGAUGUAUAUGCAGAUGUUGAAUCAAAUUAGAAGUGAAAAUUUAAGUGCAAUAUCUCGGCAAAGUUAUGAAGAUUCGCUAGCUGUUAGAUGAAACCACCAAAGAGAAAAUUAUGCUUCAGACACUAGACAUGAUGCUGCCAUGGUUAACACUCUAUCUGAGUAUGCAACUCGCAAAAUGGGUUUCAUAGAUCUAUGUAACUAUUUAUACUUGUGUGCCCUAUGUGACCCUAAAUAACUAGAAGCUUGGGCUUAAAUUUGCACAGGUAUUCAGUGAUAGUGGUCAGUCCUCACCACACCCAAUUCAAUUUUAACCAUGGCAAGAUCUAGAAAAAGUUAAUGGUGUUCUUGUUCUUCAUUUUGGCCAGGGUAUAGAAGAAGGCUUGAAAAUCAUGUGGAGGUCAAAAUGAACAUAAACAAGACACAAUUUUUGAAUAUUCUGUAAUACAUUUCCUGUUCCCUUGCACCCAGUAAGGCACAACCCAGCAGAGGACCCUACUUUCUGAAAGGGACGUAAUAACCUUUUCUGGAGUCUGGACUCUACCCUGUAGGGCAUAGCAUUUUGAAUAUUCCUUUAUGUUCUCACUAGAUGGAGUUUUAACCCCAUAAAGCCACAACUGCAUCUUUCUCAUGACACAACCUGAUUAAGGAAAUGAUAUGUAGAAGAUGGGUCACUAUUUUAUUCGUGCGGCGAGGGGGGGAAAGGUGAUGGCACAGGACCCCACUGAAGAUAGUGUUGGGCUUGAGGUAUCCAAAAUCUCCAAUAGUAGCAGCCAAUUCUGUGGAAUAUGGUAAUUGAAAUAAAAUGAAAUGGAACCAGAUCUGGGAGUGGCAAGAAGAAACAACUGUUUUUAACAAUGGAAAAUUAUCCAGAUCUGUCUGUUACCCUUAAUAAAGAGCAAGCAAAAUUAUACUCCGAUUUGAUGUAGAUAUGUUCCUCAUCAUUGUUCAUUAUGGAAUUCAGAAUUUCACAACUUCCUGUUGGCUUGAUUGAAAGCAGAUAUCACCCAAGUACCACCCUAUUAGUCCAUGAAUCUAUGUAACUAUUUACAAUUGUUUGCCCUAAGUGACCCUCAAUAACUACAAGCGUGAACUUAAAUUUGCACAGGUAUCCAGUGAUAGUGGUCAGUCAGUCCUCACCUCACCCAAUUAAAUUUUGUGCAAGAGGAAAAGAUACUGAAAAUGCACCUUUACAGUACAUAGUAUGAAAAUAAAGGAAUGAGUAAAAUACACCACCGGUCCUUAAACUUGUAAGGAUGUGUCGUCCCGGUCCCCAAACUCAUAAAAUGCAUAAUCAGAUCUCCAAACUUGCUAAUUGCACUACAUAGGUCCCAAAUCUUCAUAACUUAGCUAAACCAUCUAUGUGGCAUGCUGACUGGGCUAUGACUAGACCUGACAUGUGGGGCCAUGUGCUGGCCCCUUCUCUCCACUCUCUCUCUUACGUGGGCUUGGACUUUUGGCCCAAGAAGAGGAAGGGGGAGAAAAUAGAGAGAGACGUGGUGUCGUCCCUGUGACGCCGCCGUCCGCCAUGGCUGGCUGCCCAAAGCUCCAUCAUCCAUGGGCGCAACAGCGGACAAGGGGCUGGGGAGUAGCAGAAUCGGUCGCCUAGGCUUUCGCGAAUCCAUCUGUGGUAGAAAAUUGGUGGAGGAAAGCGCUGGAACAACGGUGGCGGCCGGGCUCAAGGGGGCAGCAGGAUCUGCAGAAACGCACGGUGCAGAGCAUCUCGAUUCGCCGGGCAUGGGGAGGGCUCAGGGGAAUGAGGCGCAGGUCCCCUGGAGUGCGUGCCAAAGCCUGGACUGCUGCCAUGCCGCUGGGGGCCCUGGGUGGAACGACGAAGACGGAGGCAGAGGCCGAGGAAGAUGCGGCAGAGAGGAGCUGACGUAUCUUCGGCAGGCGCUGCUCGCACCAAGGGAUGAGGAAGGCAGCGAGCAGGUAGCCGGCGACAGCACGGAAGGUGGCGAGCAGGUGGUCUGGCAACGGCACGAAAGGCGGCGAAAGGCACGUGCCCGUGCCGACGUCGAGGCGCUAGUGAAGGGGAUGAGAGAGAGAAAGGGAGGAGAGAGUGGAUAAGAGAGAGGAGAGAUGGGCUCCACGUAUUAGGUCCAUGCCAUAGCCAAGUCAGCAUGUCAUAUUGGCAGUUUAAGUCAAGUUAUUAAGAUUUGGGACUCAUAGGGUAUGAUUAGCAAGUUUGUGUAUUUAAUUGAGCGUUUUGCGAGUUUAGGGACCGGGAUGACAUAGUGUGACAAGUUUAAGGACCGGUGGUGUAUUUUACUCUAAAGGAAUCAUAGGAUAUACAGAGACAGAGUUGAGACUUUAUCAAGUUACCAUGUUUUGCAAUGUAGUCAAAAGAUUCUAGAGCUUCUGAAGUUGUCCGAUAUAUGUUAGGAGACAAGACAUGCACAAGGUGCUCAUCAACCCACCUAGAUCAAGGAAAAAAAAUAUUAGAAAAAAAAAAGAAAAAAGUGAUCCUACCAAUUCUUUGAAAAGUGCAAGGCUCUAAGUGGGUGGUCAGGCUCCUUAGCCAGCUGCGCUUUUUGGCAUAUCAACACAAUAAAUAAGCAAAUAUGGAAAACAGCCAAUCACUAAGCAAAGUGUUGAACCACCCAAUGCAUAGGCACCACUUUUUCUAAGCACUGGUUUUAGGCAUGCAGAGAAUGGUGAGGAAAGCAGGGUUCAAAAAAAACUCAUCCGAUAGAAUACUAGUUUGCCCCAAUGGGCCAUAGUGGUAAUGAGCAGGCAGCUGGGUUGGCACAAGUGUCUUCAAACAAAUGGAAGCAUGGAGUAAAGAAAAGAAGCUAUUUGCAAACAUUUCAAUGAAGAACCUGAAAUUUACCAAGGUAAAUUUAAUUUUCUGCUUGUUUUGUUUAAUAUUAUAUUUGUUAAGUCAUUUUCAUCUAACUAAACAAAGUCUGCACCUGCAAUUCCCAGAGACAAUAAAAUGGACAUGUGCAUAAAGGUUACCACUACUAAAAGAGAAAUCACUUAUUAACUGUAUUCCUCCCAACUUCCCAAUCAUGAGCUCGUCAGAAAUUUUGCAAUGGUAAGCCAUAACUUGGUAAAACAUGUAUAGAAAUUUAAAGUGAAGGACAGGACACUAUGACACAAAAGCUAAAUACUGAGUGAAUCAACACCAAGAAAUCAUAUCGAGCAUACUGACUGAACAGGCAAUUAAUGAAAGUAAUGAUAAGAUACCUUCGCCAUUUUGCUUCAUCUUCAUUAGUGAGUUCAUCAUCAGGUCUGAUCCUGCCCUGUAGUAUAUUAAUUAUAUCUGCCAAUAAAAGAUCACAAAAAUGCAAAAGGAAUACAUUGUUUAGCCCAUAUGAAAAAAAGAACAUGGGGUUUGCAAUUACGACUAUGCAAAAGGGACAAAAGAGAAAAAACUGUAACCUGAUGAAUCCACAAGCUGUUCACCAUCUACUGUCAAUAUCGGGACUUUCUUGUAAUCAGACCACUUGAUUUCCUUUUUGCUCAAUGGAUUAACUUCCACAACCUUGUAUGGUAUAUCAUGAUAGUCUAAAAAGGCUGAUAUGAAGGCAAUGGAAAAAAGGUUUAUGUCAUGGCUGUGGGAACAUCAAAAUUCAAGAAAAGAACAAGGUACUGUUUCCAUGCAGACAAUGUCUAUUGCCCUCCCGCUCUUAUGCAAUGGAAAACCAAUAUUGACACAAAAAUCUUAACAAACUAGCACUCCUCUCAGCAAUUAUGCAAUUUUGUGAUGAAUGAUUCAUUCUUGAAUUUACUAGAUUAUAAGUUAAUCUAUGUUCUCUAUUUUAUGCAUCUACAAGAAAACAGAGCAAAGCAUCCGCAUUUGAUUAUUUAACACAAUGCUGGUUUAAAAAUUCCUCAUAUAUAGUCCUAAACAAGACUUUCUCGCCCCUUAUUUGUCUAUUUGCUUUCACAUAUAGAUCAAAAGGGUGAAUAGUAAAGUUAGCACUGCAUCAAGUGGAUGCCCCCCCACUGAAUUUCAGUAGCAAUUACAAUGACAUACUUGUACAAGUAGUAAAUUGCAGAACGACAUAAAAAUUUCCUUGACCCCAGAAGUCUCUACAGCGAAAACUUAUUUCAAACAUAACAUAGAUCGGAAUCGCGAGACUGGAGCAAAGAAAGAAAGACUCACCUCUGACCUUGUUGCAGAAGGGGCACGCCUGGUACUGGUAUAGCACUACAUUCUGCGGCAACAGAUCCGCAGGCGGGCGCUCCUUCGCCUUCGCCUCCGCCGCCGCUACAGUAGCGAAGGUAAGGGAGAAGGACACGGCGCCAGCGACCCCGGCCGGCACCGCCCUCGAGGACGGAGGCGGCGAACGGGGCGGCGGCACCAGCGGAGCGCUCCACCGCGCGCCCGCAGCGGCGGCCGCCGCUGGGGAGGCGGCGCCGUGGAGCGCGCGAGCGGAGAGGAGGGAGCGGAAAGCUAGGGUCUGCGCCGCUCGCAGCGACCUCAUUAUGCGGCGCGGUCGGGAGCGAGCGAAACGCGAGUUCGCGACGGCGUGCGGCGGACUAGCGGUGUGGGGGAUGGCGGCGGCGGCCUGCGGGUGCCGGGGGAAGAAAAUUUGCGUGGAGAAGGGGCGCAAACCGUGGCCUCUACAAGAAGCUCCAGAUGGACGACGCGUGGCUGGUGCUCCAAUCCGACGCUCACCACCAGAAGCUGCAUCUCUGCGUGACUAGGGGCUUGGCUCCAGGCUGGACCUGCGCAUUUUGAGCCCGUCCUGGCCCGGCCCGGCUCGCGCCCGGUGGGUUUUUCUCGCCCACGUUAGGUGCCGAGCCGAAUCGUGGUAAGAAAAACCACGACAAAAUUCGAGCCGGUCCGAGCCCAUCUAAAUAAUUAAUUUUAUUUAAAUUUCAAUAAAAAUAGGAAGCCUGUAUUGAUGUUUAGAACCGAUAACCUACUAAAAGAAGUGCUUGAGAUAGUAUUUUUAUUUGUGAGGCUCGUCGAGAUCAAGAAUUUGAAGGUAAACACACACGAUUUAGACAGUUCGGGCAGCUAAAUUGCGUAAUACCUUACGCCCUGUAUGUUUGCUGGAUUGAAUUGCUUUGGAGGAGGUCCCUGGCUCGCCUUAUAUUGCCAGGUAGGGUUACAUAUUGGUUGGUUACAAGAAUACUAGUCAGAAUGACUAGAGGAGCUCUACUCUUAUUACAACAAGUAUUUUUCUAAUUCUCAACUAGUUCCUGUCUUUUCAACUAGUAGUAAAGGAUCGUUUCAAUACCAGGUGAGUUACCCAUACUAAAGUCAUGACUUUUAGUCCUGAAUUCGUAGUAGCAAGUCCAAAAUCACGAUUAAAGAGGGGUUUGGACCCAAUAUGGACUUUUUUGAGUAGUGUUGUAUAGGUGCUUUCAUGAGUCAACGAAAUUCAAAGAAAUUGUGAUCUAAUGUGUAUUCAGUUUAUGCAACAAUGCUUUCAAGCUUACUAACUGAGGUACAUGACAUACUUCAAAAUAUCACGAUGACAGAUAUACUCCCUUUGUCUUAAAAUAUAAGGCAUCCUAAAAAUUUUAUGAUGUAUUAGCGAGUUAUACCUAAAGAGCUAUGUUGUGACAUGCUCUUUUAAUGGUCAUAACUUAUUUUUAGUAUUAAUCCACCGAUCAAUCUCCCUUAUCUUAUCAAUUCCGGGAAGAAUUAAAUGAGCAAUCAUCAAAAUGUAUCUAUAAUGCUGUGUAUUUGAGAAGUAAUUUUGGACACUUAGGUGCCUUGUAAUAUAAGUACGAAGGGAGUAAGUAACAAGCAAACAUGGGAAGGAGAUAUGCGCAUGGCACGUCGAUCAGAUCACAGUCCUGCAAGCUAUUACUACUGCCAUUAGCCCGGACAUCAGAGGCAUAUAUUUAUACUGAAUUAUACACAAUUAUAUUACUGAAGAUGAGACAGCAUGUCACACUACGAGAGAAGCAGAAAGAAGCAAAGACGAUAAGACCUAACCGGAUGUCACACUACAACUUAAGCGAGAUUUAAUUUAGACAUCAAUACAGCACUAAACAAAGAUUAACCCACGAGUGACUUAACCGGGUUUCAUUAUAAUACAUCCAAUGUUAAUUGUGAAGAUGGCCUCUCAGUUAAAUUCGACAGCCGUAUCAGCACAAACUCUCAUUGCUCGCCGUGGAACUCUUCGGUAUGUGAUAAUGUGAUUAUUCGUAUAUGGAAAUAGUCUACGUAACACCCUGACGUAUCAAGACUAGGCUACAUCACCCCCUCAACAAUAAAACCAGAUACUUAACACCCUCACAUUUGUAAAACCGUUUAAAUGAUCCUCUUGGGUGGUAUCGCGGUUUUGCCCUGCUGGCGCUGAGGUGGACAAAAAAUGCUGAUGUGGACCAUCUGACACAUGGACCCAACUCGUAAGUGGGCAGGUGAGGGUCCCACUGUUCUCCUUCUAGCUCCCAUGGCUGCUCGCCUCGGCUUGCUCGUGCUGUGCGCCUUUGCCCCACUGCCCAGACCCCAGCGCAUCUGCCUCCGCCCGCUCGCCAUGGCCUGCUGCGGCCGCGGCCGCGGCCUCGGCCUCGGCCAAGCGCGCUCGUUGCCUCAACCUGUCACACCUCACACGGCACCUGAGUGGCCGAGUCUGACCUCAGCGCGCACGCGGCUUACCUGGCUGUGCACUGCUGCUGCUGACUUGAUUAACGCUUUAGUGAAGAAGAUCAGGGAAGGGAAGAGAUGGCCUUCUAUGGUGUAUGGGUUGAAUUGUGCAGGGGGACAAGAUUGAUGUGGGCUGCUUGGAUUUGGUGGCUGCGAUUGGAAGGAGCAGGGAGGAGGAGCUGCUUGCUGCCGAUUUGGAGUUGGCAAAGUGACCAGCGUGCAGCAGCUGUGGAUUUGCUAUUUUGAGAAGAAAAAGGUUGCAUGGGAAGGAAAAGAAUUUCACGCUCACGCACCAGGACCUUUGGCGGCGGACGGAUUCACGAAAGGCAAAAAUCCCGGCUCGUCACCUCUUUGCGCGGGACGCCUCGCCGACGCCGGCAUUCCCACUCCUUAAGCAACUCGUGCCAGCCCCGCAGCCCCUGCCGCAUCUCUUGAUCUGGAUGUGCCAAGCCCAGCCGUAUUCCACACAUCCGAUGCGGCGCCGCCGUCCUUCUUCACAUCGCUCACCGGGCGGGGCGGUGACGACAGGAAGCUUCUGUUCGGCUGCCCUCGUGGAGGCAGCGGAGAUGGCGAUAGCGGCCCCGGUGGAGGCGGCGGAGAUGGCGCAGGCAGCGCGGAUGACGACUUGACGGGAGAGCUGGGAGAAAAAUUGGGGAACGGUGACGAGGGGGUAAAAAGUGAAAAGAAAAUAAAUGCACCACUUACAUCUGGGCCUACGUGCCAACUUGGCUAACCGUGUCAGCGUGGCGUGGAACGGUGGCAAAACUGCCUUAGAAAACCAAGCCACUCGAGGGGGUGAUUUGAACGGUUUUAGAUACUCUAAGGGUCACAAUACCUGAUUUUGUAGUUAAAGGGGUAUGUAGUUUACUAUGAAUACGUUAGGGACUUGUAUAGACUUUUUCCAUCAGAUAUCACCGGGCUCAAGUUCAAACACCACACCAAAGAAGUCUAGUAAAAGGCGCACCUCCCACAUAGCCAGUGACAAACAACUGCCCUGUUCGCUUCAGCUUAUAAGCCGGCUGAAAAGCUGAAACGGCUGAUUUGUUGUGAGAGGAAAAUACUGUUUGGUGGCUGAUAAGCCGGCUGAAUAAGCUGAAGCGAACAGGGCUAACAACCUAAACGAGAUUUAGACAUCAAUAGCACUAAACAAAGAUUAACUCAGGAGCUAGUGAUUCAACUCAGGCGGUGCCAGUGUGGAGUUUGUUUAUCUCCGGGAUCAGUACAGGGAAAGGUGGAUGCACAUGCGGGAACACUUGCCAUGGGAAGCACUGCCGAGGGCUUUGGAUCGUUAUUUCCCUGCGAUCCAUGGAGUAGGCAGCGACGUUCCUGCCGACAUCAAAAUAGAUAAUGUCCUCCGUUGGAUGGAAGCUGAGCACCGUAAAGAGGUCGUUCUGUUUUAUGAGGUUGGCGACGGCCUCAGAAUACACUGUCCUUGCACUCGUUGCUUCUGGGUUCGUCCUUGCAAGUUCCAUGACGUCAGCUCGAUGCACCUGCUUCUCCAUGCCCCUGCGGCAGAGCAGCAGGCCGCAUAACGAGUGCACGACGAAGAUCAUCUCCUCGUCCGCGGCGCAGCAGCCGGUCUGCAUCUGGGGCAUGAACCCGAGGUCCGACGCGAGGACGGACUCCGCCGCGGGCGGGCGGGCGGGCGGGCGACGGCAGCCCGGCGAGGUGAGGAAGCAAGGGCGGCUGCCCCAGGGGCGUAAUAGCCUCUCGGACUGGAGGAAGAGCCGGAGAGGUGGGGGCCGUGGGAGCUCCAGUAUCGGGUGGCGAAGCCGGGGCGGAGGAUGAGGGCGUUGUAGCGGCGGGAGACGGCGCGGAGGCGGUGCAGGUGCUUCAGCGGCAGGCGGAGGAGGAUCUCGUCGACGACGUCGUCGCAGAGAAGAUCCAUCGAGAUGAUCCGAGGUUCGGGAGAGACCGGAAAGUUGCAAUCACAUCGGCUCGGUAGCACGCCGCACGCCGCACGGGGUGAUUACGGGACGUUUGAAUGCUAAUUAGAAGGAUUAAAUAUGAGUUAAUUACAAAACUAAUAGCAGAACACCUGGGCUAAAUCGCGAGACGAAUCUAUUAAACCUAAUUAAUCCAUCAUUAACGAUAAUUACUGCAGCACCACAUUGUCAAAUCAUGGACUAAUUAGGCUUAAUAGAUUCGUAUCGCGAUUUAGCCUAGGGGUCGUGCAAUUAGUUUUAUAAUUAGCCUAUGUUUAAUACUUCUAAUUAGUAUCAAUCAUCCGAUGUGACAGGGGCUAAAGUCUUCCAAACAGAACCUAUGAUUCGUGCGCUCACGACUACGUAGGAAUCAAGCCGGUUAGAGAUAGAAUCAGAUUCUUUGUAAGGUUUUGGAAAGGAAGGAGCGAAAAUAGUAGGAGUAUUAUCGGAUAUUCCCGAUUCUGUUCACCGUGCGCAAUUCAAAUAGAUCCUACCUUCAAUAUUAUUGGAUAAUAUGAGAAAAAUAAAAAAAAUGAUAUUCCCUUUCUUUGGCUGAAACGGGAUUAGUGAUGUAACCCGAACUUUCUAUUCCUAUUUGUUCCGAUCCCUGUUUUGAGAAUAAUAGAGUAUGCCUACAAAAUAUAUUAAAAAUUAUGUCCCUCUUAAAUUCUGAGCAUCGAGAGCUGGACGUCGUGAAGAAGGACAGCAGCUCGGCGAGGGGAAGGCGCGGCAAUGAGAGGGGAGAGCUCGUCGGCGACCUCCGUCCCUAGCGGAAGGGAGUCCCCGGAUCCCCGUGACAGAGAUGGGGAAACACCUCCCACCGCGGGGCGGAGCGGAGGCAAGCAUUCUCAGGGGUUAGCUCUCCAGCGCCUCGCCAUGGCACCUAUUCUGCGCCACAUGAUUUUUUUAGAGGAGGAGGGUAGAGUUUCCACCUGAAUCAGAGGGGGCGAUUGGAGGUGUUGAAACAGGUGGAUCGUGGGAGAUUCAGGGCAGGAUGUGUGCCUACAUCGGAUUGGGAUCACGAGAUUGAGAAGGAGCGCAUUGCUCGAGAGAUCAAACGAAGCUUGUUUCGGGGGAACUCAAACUUGGAAACUGAAUCCUCAAAUUCGAUUGCCGGUGAAUCUCCUACCCAGUAUGCAGAUGAGGGGGGGUGGAAUUGGAACGAUCCAUACAAUAAUUGGAAGAAGCGAUCAAUCGAAUCCCAAAGAGUUCGUGGUGUGACAGGGAGGUUCUACAAAUGAGAGCUAGGAGGAAGACGAGGUCAAAGAGAGAUGUGCCCAUACGGAGCAGGAAUGGGCCCCUGUUUGGACGGAAUAUUGUUGACAUCUACGUGCACUCGUGGAGGGAUGAGUCCAUAUCCAAAUGGAUAUGGAUACCCAGGCCUGCUCUGUUGGGGGAACAAGGAUUCCCAGCUAGAAAAGAGGAAACCCGCAAAGAGGGAUGGAAGGCGCACCGCCUCAUUAGGGUUCAACCUCCGUCUCCCCUUUCCAAAUCAUUCACAAGCGCACUAAAAAUCGGUGAGAUGAGGAGGGAUCCGCCAAGGCCGAUGAGAUGGCCUGAUCAAGGUGGAGGUUCGAAGCACAAUCACGAAGAGGAUCGACAUGGGGGAGGUCAAUUCGAUUAGGAUUGUAGAGAGGAGCGAACGGAUGAUGGUUUCCAUAGAGAAUCUCUACUUCGGGAGAGACUACAUGAUACGCGAGAGAUCUCAAGGAGCUGGUCGAUGCAGGGAGCUGCUCGCCAUGAAUUAAGAGGGGAUGAGGGGGAGGCGAAGCGGAGAGUGUUGGUAUAUUUAAUGAUCAUGAAUAAAUCCACAAGUGCAGGGUUAUACCGUUGUAGCAUUUUGCCCAAGAGUAUUCCCAAGGGUAUCGUAUUUCCCAAAGGAAGGUGGGUAAGUCAAAAGAGUUUACUAUGCAUACGAGUAUAUCAUAAGACGGAUAGGGACAAUACUCAAGACAGGGGUAAGAUAAUGAUGGAUAGAGUAGUACGACACAUACAGAAGGAUCAUCUCAAGAUAACUAAGCUAGAGAGAAGGACUAAGAGUUAGCUCUAGGUUCAUAUGCACUUCCUAUAUACUAAACAUAUCAUACAAGCAUAACAUGCAUACACAUUGUAUAGGGACCAGGCCUAUGCACCCAGGCACACGCGGGGAGACAGUACCCUACUGGUCUGCCAGCGUAGUUACUACUAAUUUACGAACUCCUAUAGUGUACCCAAACAUGGGGUAUUACAAAGGAUGGACAGGGCUAUCACCACUUGCCGCCUACCCCUAGCAAUCUGUGGGGUAAACUCAUAUCCAAUGAAGCUAAGCAAUCCAAGCAGCAUGCUUUCAUUAUUAACAACACUCCAACCAUCCCGUCUACGGUGACAAUGGCUAAAGCCACCAUGGAAAUGGCCACUGAACUGAUCCCGUAGCAUAGAUCAACUAGCCUAUCCAUGAUAUGUAUGCACACAAAGUAUAACAUGUAGCAAGGUCUAUAAACACACAUGAGAGUAUACAAGCCUAUACUAUGAUAGUAAGGGUAUACAACUAGCAUACGGGCGUAUAAGCCUAGCAUACCACUAUAGCAAGGGUAUACAACCAACUCAUGUAUAGAAGAACCAAGCACAACACUAAAUAAAGAAGAUGUAUACUUUGAAUAGACUAAACUCAACCUAGGAAUAAAAGAUACAAGAGACAUACCCUAGAUUCCAAGGAGACCUGGAACCUGAAGUAGAGCUGUUCUAGCCUAACUCCACUAACAUGGAAACUAAGAGGGAGAGAGUGAUUCACUAGUGGUGUGUGUGUCAUGAAUGGACCCCCCCUCUCAUAUUUAUAGGCUCCAAGAGACGGUUCUAUGAGGGAAUCUUCGCGGAAUAUCCCUUAACCGACCUAAACCAUUGCCAUGUGGAAACUGGAGACAAGAAGGGACAAGGGCGGUUCGCCCGACCCCCUGUGGGCCCCCCUCGCAACCGCCUUUCUCCGGGUGACUACUUGGUGGGUCCCAAUAGUGGUUGUGUGCGUUAUCCGGUGGAUUGAGGCGGUUGUGGUAGUUUCUGGACCCUUCAAUCAAUGGGAUGCACACAUGGCAAUCUCCCAUUAGUCAGAAGCGUGUUUCUUGAAUCCAUAGAGGGUGCUUUCUCCAUCCUUUUGUGCUAAUUCACCUGCAACCAAAUAUUCUCCAAGGACAAGUGGUUGUCGCGGUGGUGGUUAUCUGGUCCGCGGUCGUCGUCGUUGGGGUGGUGGUUGUUGCUUUGGGAUUGGUCCACCUCCUCCUCUUGAAUGGGUUCCAGCCGACCUCCCCUACGGUAGCCAUGAUCACCUCGACUGCGAUCGGAUCUACUCUGAGUAGAUCGACUUUGGGAGUGCUGGGUAUAUGUAGAUAUGGAGUGUGACGAUCAUCCUGAGCGUGCUGGGGCCUAGGCUUUUUCCUCGAUCUGGGUGUUAGCGAUAUGGAUGCGGGCCCAGAUCCACUACAGUUGCUUUGAACCCGGAAGAUUUUCUGAAAGUUUAGCAUAUGGUGAUGGCGUGUACGUAAUCUUGAUCAUGGGAGUAUGACAAGUUUCUCACUAUGGGUCACCACAAUUUGACAAAGCUCAAUGAGAGAACAAGUAGAAUAUGUGGAGGCUAUGUAAUAGGAUCAACAUAUGGCCUUGGAUGGGAAUUUCUCCUCAUCUUCUCGAUGGGAGAUGUGAUGGUUGAUCGUGUGCCUCACGUUGCAUCCUUGGUUGAUCCGAUCGCAGAGGUCUUUGUCAUGCCGUGAGCCAGAGCGUUGCGACUUGAAAGUUGUGCCCCGCUUCUGCCAAAUCGGCAAAGAUAGGUCCGUAUGGUUGAUUAAGGCUGCCACAACCUGGACCAUCGCUUGCACUCGGGCCAAUCUCGGGGUGUUGGGAAGGAGAGUGGUGAGCUCUUCGUUUGCGGCGAUAAGGUUCUCCUUUGGAGUCAUGUAGACCUUGUGGCCAUCGUAGUCCAUAGUGAACUCUCACUCGAGGUUGUGAGGGUGGAGAGUGUGCUGCUUGUUAGAGCGCGACCUCCUCCUCCCAUCCCGGUGAGAUUCAACAUGUUCUCCAUCGCCAUUGGCGUUCAACAACAUUGAGGAUCUGCUAUCGCUAAGCAGCUUGGUUGGUGUUCUUUUGAAUGUGUUGUGCCUUGGCUUGCUCCAUUUCCCCCUCGAUGUUUCGUUCAUCAUCGAAGACCGGUGCUGCUGGUGCGACAACGUAAACAAAAUCGGGGGGCAAGUUGCUUUCGGAGUCGUCAGCGGAUUCAACAAAAGUUUCCAUCUGGUCUUCAUCUUCUGCCUCCGGCUCCGGACCCAUCGUGGAUUGUGUUUGGGAGCACCCCUUUGACAACUGAUCUGAGUCGAUGGUGCAGUCCAUCUCCACGCCUUCCUCCAAGAUUGGAAAUAGGGAUGGCUGCUGAUAACAUCCAUGAUCUGUAGCUCAUCCUCGUCCGACUAGUCAUUGACCGGUCGAAGAAGUUUGAUCUCACCAUAGCUUUCCUCGUUGCCUCCUGGAAGGUGGCGGCAGCACUCCUCAGCACGUAAGGGAUACGGAUCUGAGGGGUCGAAUCAGUUGGCACCCCUCCAAGAGUAAACUCGCAAAGGGUCAUGCACUCGGCUAGUUGAGAUACAAUGUGAUCCAUACCUUGGACAAGAUCGUCGGCGGAGAGAGCCACGGGGGCUCCGUCCUUUCCCGCUGCAGGGUACAGCAGAUCAUCGACCGGAACUCAUGGGUUCCUAGUCUGUUGCGGUCUGCUGAGGAUUACUUUGUUAGCCUAGGUCUAGUUGCAAACCAGAUUGGAUCUGUUAGCCGCGACCGGUGCCGUAGCCCGAUCGAAGGUUUCGAUCUUCUCGACCAAAGGACUAGGGAUGAUGCACGGCACUUCCCUGAUGAGAAGCUGGCCUCUGAGAGGGACCGAGUGGUUGGCCGCACGAUCACCGAUGGCGGAGGCAACGUGAUGUCCCUAGAAGGGAAUUGCCGCUCCCAUCACGACGAAGAUGAUGCAACUCUUCGGGAUGCUGACAACGUCCAUCAAGCUCACCAACUGACACGGCGAACCUCUACCUGGCACGCCAACUAUCAGGGGAAUAGGCCGGCAGUUCACUAUAGGGUAGACCAAGGUGGUAGAUUGUGUGGAGGGGAUCACCGCACCUAGAACUAGAUGGAUGAACACAACGACCCAGGGGACUUUACUAGGUUCGAACCACCAGAUUGGUGUAAUACCCUACGUCCAGUGCUCUAGGUUGUAUUCUUAGCGUGUAGCGUAUCGAAUAUGGCUUGGGUUUUUGAGGGAGGUCCCUGCCACCCAUAUAUAGUCCGGGGGACAGGGUUACAGAUCUGAUUUGAUCUAAUCCUAGUCGGUUACAAGGAAAUCUAAUACAUUUCGGUACAAUUUAUCUCUUUACAUAUUUAAACAUGCAUAUCUGAAACUAUAUCUCUUGAUGCCGAUCCUUCAUCUUGAUCUGUACGCCUAUCCUGAGUCCCCCUCGCAUGGGCUGCGGUACCCCCUUUGGAGGGCAGCCAGGCCCAUCCGAGUGGCACCCGGGGGUUAUAUCCCCCACAUCCGAAUAUCAAGCAUCACAUAGAACAAGAUUAUAGCAGCUCUAUUCUACUAUAUCUGAUCUCACAACAACCUAGACAUGAAUCAUGCUUUUUGCUACCCACAAUUUUCAAGCUAAGGUUUGAUCAUGCAAGCUAACAGACUCAAAAGCAUGGGUAGGAUACUAAGUUGUAACAAGACAUAUGAGAGGAAAUAAAUAGAGCAAUUAUUCAUCAUUUCAACCAUGGAGAAUUAAAACAUUCUUACCGCGCAUAGGAAAGCAGUAAAUAGUUUUGGUAUUUUUAGUUUUUCAGAUUUUUAUUUGUUUUUAUCAUGCAUAUUCUGAAAAUAGAAAGAUACAAGUUACCUCUCUUGUGGGGGGUCCUCCCCCAAGCUAGCAUCAGGCUCACUGUUGUUGGUUGGGGUUGUACCCCGUCCAACGAAAGUAAGCUUUCUACUCCUUCUCUUGGUGUUUUUGCAGUGCACUUUGACAAGUUGGGUGCCCAACUUGCAACAAAAGUGCGACAACAUGGGGCAACAUCCAAUUGGGCAAAAGAACUCUCCCCAAGUGGUUGCUUCCCUUGAGUUCAAACCCGCGACAAAGAACAAGAUAGAGGAAGAGAGUUCCCUUGCUUCUGUCUCCUUGCCAUAUUAUUCACAUCACAAUCAAUGAAUAGUUCACCAACAACAAUAAUGCAACAUAGAACAAGUUCAGCAUCAACAAUGCAACAUACAACAAAAGUUCUUCAGCAACAAAUAACAAGUUCACUAGCAACACACUUCAGUUGAGGGAAGGAUCCACUUGGCUCUGACCGGUGCUGAAGUGAAUCAGGCUAAAAAUUAGAGUAUGCAACUGCUUUGUGGUGUUCUUCAAAGCUUCAAGCUCUUCUAUCUGAGACUUAAAUGUUGUUCCUUGCGUUUCAGCCCUCACUCUCAGUGCACCCAUCUCAGACUCCUAUUCAACAAUCUUUUGCUGAAGUUGUGCCCCCCUCGUUUCUCACUCUCAAGAUCAGCUUAGAUUUCUUCUAUCUGCAACACAGUACCAACCCUAGUCCUUUUCUUUAAGGGUGGGUGAAUGCGAGCAACCUCCCGUAAUGUCCUAGAUUGGACAACUACAGCCACUGCUUCAGCAGCUAUCUUUGGUUAGUCAUCUCCAGGUUGGGUGACAAUUUGUUCCAUCCGAACCUAAUAAAAGAAAGAAAAUGAAUGGUCUCACAAAAGUACUCACAAAUAUUUCUAGUGUUAUUGUUGUAAAGAACAAUGCAAAGUAAACAAGUACUUACAAUGGCUGCCUGUACUAGAGCGGUGUAGCCAUUUUUGCUGCAAUGGAAGUUCUUGAAAAGAUCAAUUGGAGUUGGGUCUCUUUCAACUUGCUUCUCCCUCUAAUAUGAUGUGAAAACAGGCAUAAAUUGUUAGCUUUGAACAAAGAGCAUGAGUAAGUUCAUCAAAUAAAGUAUAGAGUAAAAACAUGACUUGUUCAAUUGCUUACCACAACAUGAGCCUGUGCAAUGUAGCUUCUAGAUCAUGUGCAUUGAAUAUACUUGACCAGUCCACGAUUACCGGUGUUUGUAGUACACCUCUCCUUUUAUAGUAAUGAAAACUCGUGUAAGAGUAAUGAAUAAGAGGAACAUAUAAGUACAUGCAAAUGUGUUAGUGGCAAGUUGAAGUUCUAUCAUACCUUGUGAGGUUGGCUAGACCACAUCGUAACCAGUUUGUUCCACUGGUCAUCAUUCAUAGUGGUCACAGGAGUUCUAGUUGGGACUUUAUUUGUUGCAAGACCAUUGAAGUACUUUUUCUUGAGCCGGUACCUCCCAUGUCUCUGUUGCAACUUGAGCAUGUCAGUACAUGCCUUUAUGACUGGUUGACUGGUGGUUUCAAUGUCAAAUUGUCCCUAUAUUAAGCAAAAACAUAAGAGUAGUUAGAAAAAUGGAUGAAAAGAAAGGAUGCAAAAAACUAUGGUAUUAGAUGAGUCGAUAUAUACACACCGGCAGUUUGCCAAUGUAGUCCUUGAGAUAUUUUUCAUUAUGGGCCUUAUAGUCCUUAUAGUGAGUAAGGAUCGAUAUAUGCCCACGCAAUAUGAUCCCACCCUCUGAUGCAAACUUUGUAGCUUGCAUUGGUGCCUCUGGCCAUUUAAGCCCUUCUCGAACAUGGAUCGGAAGCUUGGUGUGUAACCCUAAGCUUGGCGUGUAACCCUCUGCUUAUCCUAUCCAGAUCUCUGCCCAACCUUCUUGAAUCUCGUGGCACUUGUACUCUUGUGGAAGGGAGUGCAUCACCUAAAAAUUUUGUUACGAUCAUACAGGUGGUUUGUUUAAUAAUGAUUUGGUUGCUAAUUGUGAUGUUCCAAUUUUUUGGCAUUGGGAAAAAGAGAUCAAAUGAAUUGCCUUUGCAAGUUGUCAUGUCAGCGAUGUCCUCAGUGUGGGUGGCUGUUACUUGACCUUUGGUUGGCAAUUCUUGUGAAUCAGGAGUCGUCCCAUCCGAAACUCCUGCCUGAGCUAAAGCCAAUGCCUUUGCCCUAGUCACUCUAGGAGGCAUACUGUCAGAGGCAUCAGGUGCUCGAAUUCUCUUGGACAACCCUCUUCCCCCGCUGACAUGUAUGCUAUCACUGAUCUUAUUGGACAAAUUGCAUAAACAAAAAUAAUGAGAAGCAAUCCUACAUAACUGAUACAAGAAAUUUGGUAGGCAACAACAGAUGCCUUACAUUGGCAUGUCUCUUGGUCAGAUUUAGGCCGUUCCUGAGAUGGAUCAUACUCCGGAUCUGGAUCUUCACUUCUUUUUUCACUUCUUGUUUCAUUGGUAUCCUUUCUUUAUCCUUUUGUUGCCUCUUUAAGGAUGUUUGUGACUUUUCCAAUACGAAGAUAGUACCUUCUAGUUCCUUAAGAUACAUGCAACCGUCUUCUGCUUGUAAGGAGUGAGCUUCGGUUCUUUAUGUUAGGAAAAGAAAGAAACUUCUGUAAAAUUGUCCAAUCCCUAUAAAUGAAACAAACUACUGUACAAGAAACAAACUGCUUCAAAAUCUAAAGGUAGAGCGCACCAAAAUAAGAUCCAAUAUAGGAUGUUCCUAGCCAAAAGAAAAUCCAGGAAAGGUUGUUCCUACCCAACCUUAUACGAGCCGAAAGGGCAAACUACUAUAAAAGAAAUAAAUUAAUGUAAAAUCGUAAAGGUGCUCCCCCCAAAACAAGAUCCAAAAUAGGAUGUUCCUACCCAACCUUAUACUAGCCCAAAGGACAAACUAGUAAAAGAAACAAACUAGUGUAUACAUGGGAACUGCCAGAUCUACAAACAAAUAACAAAGUAAAAGUAAUAACAAAACUAAACAAGGAAACACUUUAAUCGGAACACUGGGGACGCUUAACUGGGGAGGAAAAUAUUGUACCUGGUUGUUGAUAUUUCCUUCGUACAACCUUUCCGCCUGGUACCAUUGCGUUACCGCUGGUCCUACGGAGGGAGAUGGGAAAUGGACGACAGCUAUGAGGGGAAGAUUGUGGAUGGCGGUGAGCAGGUGAAGAUUUGGGAUGCAGGCGAGGAGGUGAACGGGAACUGAUGGCGGAAAGUUUUUUGAUGCAGAAAUUUGGGCAGAGGGAGGGAAGGGACGAGGUAUUUGGCCAAUUGGUUGGAUGGCGCUGUCACAUUACCAAUAUACCCUUUUAGUAUGGUGGUGGAUGAAACGGGAUGCUGUUGGGAGGGGGAAGAAAAAUUGACAUUUCACAUCUGUCACAUGGCUUGGCCUGGGCGUUCGAAUAUUUGAAUAGCACGCCAAAAAGAUUUUGGGGCUGGUUUGCGCCAGGUAAUGGUGACCAAAGGAUAUUCCACUUAGCAGAAUAUGCCGGACAAAAAUCUGAAUCGUGAAAUGUCUAGUAGUCUAUUCAUGGACGUUUCUUAUUCUUGGUACAAUCAGCGUAACCUCUACCAAAGCUUUAUUGGUAGAAUCAGCAGAAUCUGGACCCAGAUUCAACAAAUUAUCAUUCAAAAUCUUCGGUAUAUCAUGAGGACAACUUCAAAAAGUUGUAUAUUCCGUUAUUUGGUACCACUCCCUCCGUUUAUAUACUGCUCCGCUUAUAUUGAAGUACAUUAUUAGGUACUACUCCCUUCUUUUAUAAGGCGUAUGCGCAUAAGUGUAAUAAGAGAGACAAUGUCAUAUCAUGCCACGUCUUAUGAAUAAGAACGGAGGGCAUAUUUAGGAUGGAGAACUACAUAUAUAUAUAUAUAUAUAUAUAUAUAUAUAUAUAUAUAUAUAUAGAGAGAGAGAGAGAGAGAGAGAGAGAGAGAGAGAGAGAGAGAGUUUUACAUUGGAAAGAAAUCUCCCUUCGAUUGGGUGUGCUUACUACUUAUUCUUGUGUACAUUGGCAAUCAAACAUCAUUUUCCCGAUUGGAUUUUCUAACUACUCAAUCAUGUGCACAUUGGAGAUCAAACAUCCCUCCUUUGGUUGCAUGUGCUUACUUACACACAUGUCAACAUUGGAAACCAAAGAAAUCUCCCUUCGAUUGGGUGUGCUUACUACUUAUUAAUGUGCACAUUGGCAAUCAAACAUCAUUUUUUCGAUUAGAUUUGCUAACUACUCAAUCAUGCGCACAUUGGAGAUCAAACAUCCCUUCCUUUGGUUGCAUGUGCUUACUUACACACAUGUCAACAUUGGAAACCAAAGAAAUCUACCUUCGAUUGGGUGUACUUACUACUUAUUCAUGUGCACAUUGGCAAUCAAACAUCAUUUUCCCCAAUUGAAUUUGCUAACUACUAAAUCAUGUGCACAUUCCAAAUCAAACAUCCCUCCCUUCAAUUAAAUGGCUUCCUUGGAUUAAGUAGCUCUGAACAUAGUUUUGGGUUAUAUUGAAGAUUACAAACAAAAACAUUACAAAGGUAGUUUUGGGUUUCUUUUAUCAAUAGCAUCACUCAUUACAUGAUGGUGAGGUCAGAGAAGUCUCCUUUUUGGGUGGCGAAAGACUAGACCCUGCCACAUCUGUAUUCCUGCAUGUAUCCAUAAUCUUAAUCCACUCGAUUGACUCAAACACUUGGAAAUCUGAGUCUUCAACGCCCCUAGAGCAGUUAGAUGAUCUAGCUUCAUUCGCAACAUGAAGAUGACAUACCAGCCUAUCUGCUUGGUCACUCUGCACCCCAUUGGUACCAGACCAGUUAUAAGACUCAUCCGACUCCGGUACAAACUCUGCCAGAUCACCAAUAUUUAAAAUCUAAGCACAAAGCCUAGGAAGAAAUUAUUACAAGGCUCAAUGAAAUAGUUGGUUCGUACAUGACAAUGAAACAUUUAUUGUUCAAAUCGAAUACAAUAAUCAAUGGCAAUGAAAUUGUUGGCGCUAGAAAUCGGUCAACCGAAUCCCCAGCGUCUGACACACGCCCCGGGAGAAUCUGCUUAACUCCUGUUCGGGUGAUCGCCCUGGUGCGGUUCGCGUGGCGUGCCAGCCAAUCUGACCUAUUGAUUGGCAAGGGAGAAUACGUGUCAGAUCCCAAAGGUUGCGAUCGGCUAAGUUUCCGAUCUCAAGAAAGCUUAUCAGCGAAUCGGCCGAUUUGCCGUAAUAAAGAAAUCGGCUCUGAAGCAGCCGAUUACUGAGUAGCGUGAAUGAAAACUGCGGGAGUAAUCAAUGCAACGCUACAGCAACAACACUAGGAACAGAUCUAAUUGGCUAUACGUAAAAUAAGUGAAUUAAAUAGCAGAAUAUAAGGAAAGCCGAAACUGCCGAUUCCUAGCUGGAUAACUGGUGAUAAAACUAGAAAAACAGGUAAAACCUAUGAUUCUAGUAAAUAUCGAUAACUAGUGAAUAAAUCUAAACGAAACGACAGCGAUGCGCCCAAAGUUAAAGCUUAGAAUUUACUCGAUAAGCGGAACUUACAAGAUCGGCCGGAGAUCAAGUUGAUGCAGCCCCGCCAACCCGUAUGAACUCGUGAAAAAGAAGAAAAGUAUUGGCGAAGUCGCCUGCUUGAAAGUAAGUACGAGGAAAUAGUAAUUUGUUGUAUUGAGUUGUUGAUUCAUUUUAGUAUUGAGUUGUUGAUUCAUUUUACAGAUCUACAAAGGUGGCUAUUUAUAGCCCCGUACAAACGACUCCUUAUCCGACUAGAACUUUAUCUCUAACUUUAAACAGAAAAACUUUUUAUCCGACUAGGACUCUAUCCCAAAUCUAAACAGAAAAUGAAUAUUUACAAGUACGAUUCGUACUAUCUUUACGUGCCUCAUGGGCUGACCUCUUCUUCAUCUUCAUAAUCCUUUUUAAGCCCACAUCGGCCCAAUUACCUCUUUAGCAAGGAGGUAACCGAUCAGGACCUACACACCAAGGGCUCAAACUCAUCCUGACCCUGGGCACUAGGGUCGGACGGGGCGGAGAUCCUCCCUUGAGGGUCGGGCGCGUCCGAUCCCAAACCUCAGGGGUCGGGCGAGGCGGAGAUCCUCCCUUGGGGGUCGGGCGCGUCCGAUCCCAAACCUCAGGGGUCGGACGAGGCGGAGCCCCAAGGAUCAAUCGGCCGAUCCUUAACUGUAGCAUUACUUGGCCGAUCCUUGACUGUAGCGCCAUUCGGCCGAUCCUCGACUGUAGCACCAUUCGGCCGAUCCUUAACUGUAGCACCAUUCGGCCGAUUUCCAAUUGUCGCCCCUGUAUCUUGCAAUAUCUUCAAAUUUCUUUCUCUCCUGACGCCGAUUUUACUCGUGUCAAAAUCUGGUGUCAACAGAAAUAAUUGUUUAACAUUCUACCUCUUUGUCAUUGGGGUUCGAAGAAGGUGCCGACGUAGCAGGAUUGGUUGACAGACGAUGGUCAUCAGGAGCUAGAGAUACAUGAUUAUUUGGAGGAGGAGGAGCUGCAGUAGCAGGUGUAGUAGAGCCUUCCAAUGUAGUUGGAGCAGUAGUCAGUGUAGCAGAGCCUUCCGACGUAGUUGGAGCAGGAGCAGGUGCAACAAAGCCUUUCGACGUAGUUUGAUCGAAGCAGGUGCAGGAGAGCCUUCCGAUGUAGCAAGACCAAGAGCAGGUGCAGGAGAGCAUUCCGACGUAGCGAGACCAGGAGUAGGAGCCACCUCAGGAUCUUCAUGAGCUUGCAAAGUAGUGAGACCAGGAUCAUCCUUAGCUUGCGAAGUAGAGAGACCAGGAUCAUCUAGAGUAGCAGCGGUAGACACUUCAAGAUCAUCAGGAUCUGUAGCUGUUUCCACCACAGGAUCUUCCUUUUGCUGUUGAGAGGCAACAAUAUUAGAUAGAACCAUGAGUAUUGAUGCAUUUGUUUCCUCACCAUCGCCACCCGUCUUUGUGGGAACAAGUGUGGAAUCCUUUUCUAUCAGGAUCGUCGUUGAUGUCAACAAUUGUGUAAUUCCACCUGAACUGUGAUGUGGCAUAGAGACUUCAGAGGAUUUACUCAGUUCAAUCAGAGGCAUGAUUAGCAAGGGGGUCUGACCAGCAUGUGGGAGUUGAAUUUGCGGUGCUGGUAACCUGAUCUGCUGGUACACCUGAUUGAGUGCAGCAGAGAAGGUGGUGAUCACAUUGUUGAUGCUCUGGUUUGCCCUCUGUGCCACCUGCUCUAGCCACGCAAAUUGUCUUUCCUCCUGACGAGCCAGUCUCUUGUCCAACCAUUUUUGCAGCUCGGCCAAGCACAUAGUACUUUCUGCUUAGUUUGCCUAACCAUCAACCAGUCCUUGAAGAAUUAAGGCAAGCUCCAUCGGCUGACUGGCUGUUGCUGGAGUGAUCGGUACUAUUUCUGGUCAUGAGUGACUUGGAGACAAGGUACAUACGUAAUUUUUUUCUCACUGCGUUCAGUAUCUGAGCAAUAGUUCUCAUUUCUCUACGCAUUAGGAGAUGGUUCAUUCCUAGCCCUUAGGCCAUGAUGUCUAUCUCCUAGUCUCGCUGGCUUGUAUACCUUGAAUUUUGUUUUGGUAGGGCUAUACUAAUGUCGCUAAUUUUUGGGUUCAGUUUGCACCUUUCUACCGUUCUUAUCUUUUUUAGUAAGAUGACUCAGGAUGACGGAGAUCUAGUGAGCAUACAGCAUUUGUUGGGCCACAAUCAACCCAUCUUAGAUAACAUCUUGAAUCUCACAAAGAAUAAAGUCCACGAUGUCAAAAUUCCAGCCAGUCAUGAUGUGAAGAAGCCACUACUAAAGACUAGUGAUGGACUCGGCAUUACCGAUCCGUGGUAACAAUGUCUUCCUUAGUGCUUGGGGAACCACAUUGGCCUCAGGUUUAAGCAUUUCAAGCAUGCGAUAUGCUCAGCUAGAAGGGAAUGGAUCUACAAAGAGUUCAGCCAUAUCCUCAUCCGAAGGGAAUGAUCCACUAAGCAAACUAUGGCGAGGUGGUUCACGACCCGGUAGACAAUAUGGUGUAGGGACACGUUACACGUAUUGACUCCAAGACUAUCAGCAAUUUGGUGUCACCAAAUUCUAUGUGGAGAUUCCUAAAACAUGACCUGAAUGUACUCUCUGCUCUCAGGAAUGUACACUGUAGCAUACAAAACUCUGACCCAAUCCUCAAUAAACUGAUGAUGACCUGAGACCAAAUUAGCCAAACCGGGAAGUUGAUCGAAGUAUCCCUUAAUAUCCUCUCCUCCCGCGGCCAUAUUCAUAUGAUUCCAAUUUAUAAUCUUGUGCUCAAAUAGUUUGGUGGACAACAUUUUGUAGUUAUAGUAGAAAGUUUGCUGAAUGACAUUCCUAAAUUUUGGUUUAACCCGUAUGUCAUGGGAUUUUUCAAACCACAGAUCCUCAGACACAAAUCUAAGUCUUUUAAUCAUUUGGUAGCUAUGCAUGCUUAGGUCAAUCAUCCUUAGCGGCUCUUCUGGUGGAGGGUAAAGAGGUACCUCAUUCUGCUCCCUGGGGUUGGGCGUAGAAAACUCAGUAGGGUAGGGAGGUCAAUGCCACGUAGAUUGCUAUCUUUCGGAAGGCGCCGAGGUUGACUCACCCUGUGUGCAGCAGGAAGGCGUCGAGGUUGACCCACCUCGUGUACAGCGGGAAUGGGCAGGAUAAGACUCCUGUGUAAUGCACCUGCCCCCAGAUGUGCCUGCAGAAUUCGCCUGUGACUCCCUUUGUCGCUUCAUCAGAGGUGGGUGAAGCACCUUUCCAUUUCUCUUGCCACCAUUUUAGCCCAUCUGCAAAAUCUUUCUUGAAUCAGCUACCGCAAUGAUCUCAAAAAAUUUAACAAAUCUCCCUUUCAACGACGAAUACCGGUGGAAUUGGGGCGAGCGGCGGCAGAUUGCGGUAGCAGCGGAGCGCAGCCAUGGUUGCGGGCAGCGGCAGCAUGUGGCGGCGGCGGCUAAAACCUACCAAGGGCGAGCGCCGCAAGUGACCUUGUAGUAAAUGGGGAACGACGGGUCAGCAAGGGUGACACGGCAUUGGAUAAAGUCAUAAAGGUAUAAUGCACACCCAGACAAGAAGAUGGGUAGGAGUUUCCUACCCAACCUUGUUCUAGCAUAAGGAUGUUUCGUUGUUCGAGAAUACACCGAACUGGAUAAAAAGCCAGCCAAAUAGGCGUUCAAAGAUUUUGAAAGUAGCAUGUUCUGGUGUUUGAGAAUACACCGAACCGGAUAAACAACCAGCCAAAUGGGUAUUCGAAGAUUUUGAAAGUAGGAUGUUGUGGUGUUUGACAAUACACCUAACCAAAUAAACUGCCAGCCAAAUGGACAUUCAAAGAUUUUGGAAGGCGUCACAGGAUGUUCCGAUGUUUUACAAUACAAUGAGCCAGAUCAAUGACCAGCUAAGUGCACUUGCGAACAUAUUGAGAUGCGUCAAAAGGAUUUUCCCACAACUACUAUGAUAAAAGGUCUACAUGCACAUAUCAAUUUAUAUCAUAUACAACAAAUGAGUUCAGAUUGGAUCGACUAAAAUAUUAAUUGAUUUCACAUCUUAGUCCUCUUCACUGUAUGGUGUAGGAUUUUCAUCUUCAUCAUGGUAUUGCCAGAUAGUCUUGUCCUCCUUCUCCUCAUCAGAAUUGAAUCCGUCCACAUUAGAUAGAACCUGCUGGCAAAUGGAAGUAACUUGAGCUGCAGGAAUGACAGUCCGCUCCUCCUCCUCAUCAGUAAUAGGCAUCAGAGCCUCCGAACCAUCACCAAUACCAUCAUUCAAGGUUUUUUCAAUUACAACAUCUUGAUAUGCAAGUCCCAUGCCACUAGGCAUUGUGUCCUGCUCAUUUUCAAUAAAGCUCCACAAGUGUUUGUGCUCAAAUUUUUGCACCACUCUCCAUGGGUCUUGUAGCAGGGUGUCUGGCAAGUAAAACACCUCUGUUGCUUGUUCAGCAAAAAUGUAGAGAUUACUUUUGUACUAGUACCUUCCAAUAUUGAUGAUUGUCAAGUACCUAUCCUUUUUAAUCCUUGGUUCCUUCUUGGUCCUUCCCAGAUCAUACCAAUCACAGUGGAAUGAUGCAGCGGUUUAAUUUAUGCCACGCCCUGCUGAGUUAUACCGUAGCUCAAUAAUUUCUUUUAGACAACCAUAAAACUCAAAUGGCUCACUGUUAUAAAAACCUGCAGCCAUAAUCCCACUGUUCUGCAUCUUUCGAUUUUCCUCUCGGGCAUGUGUGUGGUACCGGACACCGCCAAUAAGAUAUGCUGAAUAUUUUCUUCCUCGCUUGUAUGGUAAAUCUGAUAAUACAUAUAGAUCCUCGGAGAUCUCUCCUUCAGGCAUCUUUUCAAUCUGUACAACAAAACCAUAGUUUGAUGUAUAUUUUUAUAUAUAGGUCCUCGCCCGCUAAUAUAAGUUUGUUUUGAAAAAGUAGAAAACUUACAUGCGAUUUAAACCAUCGAGCGAAUUCUUUCCGAAUUAUACGGUCAAUAACCUGGUCCGACACACCUUCUGCUUCUAACUGAUCCCUGUAUAUUCUGCAAAAGCACAUCCAUCUGAAAAUUAGACCGAAAUAAUUGCGGUACAAUCAUUGCAUGAUGGAUUACCUACCCGAUAUAUGGCUCAACCUCGUCGCAAUUGUUUAGCACAUGCCAAACCAGCUUGUCGUAAUCCAAAUGAAGGAAUGAAGUCUUCGCUGCUCCAAUUACAUUAACAUUUUGCAGGAAACAAGAUAAAUCGCCUUCUCGUAACAAAUCAGCAUUCUCCCUAUUCUUGCCCUCUUGAUUGAAUCGUGUGCCAACAUCAUCAUCCGCAAAGUACCUUGAGCAAAAUGUCAAGGCCUCAUUGGCAACAUAUGCUUCUGCAAUGGAUCCUUCAGGCCUAGCCAUGUUUCUCAUGGAACACUUCAAUGUGCAUAGCCUUCUUUGGACGGGAUACAUCCAUCCAUAUUGUACUGCUUCCUUAGGCAAAUGGACAGCCAAGUGCACCAUAACAUUAAAGAAGAUAGGAGGGAAAAUUUUCUCAAGCUUGCACAAAAUUAUUGGGAUAUCUGUUUUCAGUUUAUUCAAAACAUCCAACUUCAGAGUUUUGCAACAUAGUUGUCGAAAGAAGUUUCCUAAUUCUAAAGCAACUGAGUAUGUCUCUUUAUCCAUUAAACCUCGAAGGGAAGUAGACAAAAUCCUUUGGAGUAUGAUAUGACCAUCAUGAGUUUUUCAGUCUUUGGAGUUUGCAUCCAUCAGCGACAAUACAUCUUGAGAAGUUAGAAGCAUAUCCAUCUAGGAACUUCACCUGACUUAUAAAAUCACAGACCACCUUCUGUUUCUUUUUAGCCAUUGUAUAUGGAGCUUCUAGCAUUUUGCAUGACUCCCCUUCCAUAGUAUUUAGCAUGUGUAGAUGUGGUCUAAUGCCCAUCUCUUCCGAAUCAACCCUAGCAUUGAUUGUGUCCUUUGUCUUCCCAGCAAUUUAAAGCAAUGUUCCAAUAAGGUUUUCGCAUAUGUUUUACUCAAUGUGCAUGACAUCAAGAUCAUGUGGCAGCUUCAGAGUUGUCCAAUAUGGCAAGUCAAACAAACAAACCCUUCAGCUCCAACAUUGUUUGGGUUCCCGCUUCCUUUUCUGACCCUGAGCAGGCUUUCCUAGUUUAACGUCUUUAACCUUCUCCAGUUGCUGCUGAAGCUCCUUAGUAGUAAAUUGCUUUGGUCUCUCUCGAUUUUUAGUAUUACCAUCAAACUCUGCUUUCUUUCUUCUCCAUGGAUGGUCAGUUGGAAGGAAACGAAGGUGGCCAAUAUAACAUAUCUUGUUCUUCAAUCUCCUUGAGCAAGGAUUCUUGUCACAACGCACACAGGCAUAAUAACCUUUUGUGACUCACCUCGCCCAUGUGCCCAGUGUUGGAUAAUCAUGUAUGCUCCAAACAACCGCAGCAUGCAGUUUAAAGGAUUGUUGACUACAAGCAUCAUAUGCAUCGACACUCUUCCAAAGGUCCAAUAGCUCAUCUACAAGAGGUUGCAAGAAGACAUAAAAAUCUUUUGAUAGAGAACUCAGCCCAGGGAUCAAUAAUGUCAUCAUGAAGUUUGAUUCUUCCAUGCAUACCCAUGGUGGCAUGUUAUACGGCACAACACAUACUAGACACAUACUAUAUAAGUUGGGCAUGUUGCCAAAUAGAUUGAAAUCAUCGAUUGCAAGGCCAAGUCUAAUGUUCCUAGCAUCUUUUGCAAAUUCUGACCAAUUUUUAUCGAAGUCUUUCCAUGCCUCACCAUUAGCUGGAUGGUUAAGCUCAAUGUCCACUGGUUGUCGCUUCAACUCGUACCAUUGUGCAUCCUUGUGGUUUUUAUGAAAGAAACAUCCUUUUCAGCCUUGAAACCAACAGAAAAUGCCUCAAUACCUUCUAAGGAACAUGCUUCUUGUUGUCUGCAUCUUUCCAUCUUGAAUCCACUUCACAACACAUUGGGCACACAUCAUGUUAGGCUAGCGUCUUGCGAAACAAUACAUAGUUAUUCUUGCAAACAUGGAUAGAUUCAUAGACGAGUUCUAUGGCACGUAUGUACUUCGUUGCAUCAUUGUAAGAUGUCGGAACACAUGCUCUAAUGAAAGCAAGGGAUACCACCUUCAAAAUCACAUUGAAUACGACAUUGUUGAUCCGAUAGAGAGACUUGAUAUGAAGUAGCUUCACAACAAAUGCAAAUUGUGUAUAUUUAGAUCCUAGUGACACCUUACAAUUUAUAUGUUCCUUUAUAAAUUCUAACAUUUUCCCUCCACGCUCUUUAGCGUGGCACAUAUCGGCUAUCAUUUCAGGAAGUCCAUUUUCAGUGCCUUCAUCCUCCUCCAUACCCGAUAUGUGUUCGUUUUCCUGAAACAUUUCCUGAUCACCAUCAUCUUGCAGAACUGCAUUAUCCACAACACCCUCAUCCGACAGAAUUGCAAUUUCCUCAACCCCAUCAUCCUGCAGAAUUGCAUUUUUUUGAACCUCAUUAUUUUGCAGAUUUGCAUUUUCCUGAACCCUAUCCUCGAAUAUUUCUCCAUGAUGGAUUCACCUAGUGUAGGUGCUUGCCAUCCCAGUCAAAUGUAAGUGUAGGUUCACCUCAUCUAUAGUACAUCUAGACUAAUUCAGGCAUCCACGACACAGGCAUAGAAUUUGUUCAUCAUCAAAGUAUCUACUGUUAACAGAUUCCAUGAAAUCAUUGACCCCUUUCUCAUGCUCGGGGGUAAAUAGUCCACAAUUGGGUAUCUAAUGUCUAUCCAUGUAGGAAAUUUUGGCGAAUUCAACUCAAAAUUACUGAUCAGAUUGAAAGACCUCAAUGCGAAAUGAAAUUUUGGUGAAUUCAACUCAAAAUUACUAACAAGAUUGACGCGUCGCAGCAGGAAGCACCAGAUUUGUGCUGCCGUAGGACUACGCCACCGCGGGGACGCGCAGAUCUCCGCCAGAGUGCUCCGUCCUGGCCGCCUUCUCUCUGUUCUUCUUCUUUCCCUAUCGCGGGAGCACGAUAGCAGGUAAACUAUUUUUUGAUUGCAGCACGGGCUUUUCUGUCGCCAACUACCACACUCACCUAAAACUUACCUUACAUGUGGGACCCGGUCGCAGUCUAGACUUCCUAUUCGAUCGGUAACUGGUUCGACCCACGAGAGGAGCAUAUUUUCUAUUUUAUUUUACCAUCCUAUUUAUCAGCUUAAACUUACAUGUGGGACCCUCAUUGGUUUAUGAUAUUUUCGCAGAGCUUAUAUCGUCACAAAACUACUAUGUAACAGCAAGUGGCGAUCUCUUUUUUGCUAUAGUGGUAACGUUUAUGACAUUCCGUAACUUUGUCACUAAAUUUACUUGGAUGUGAAACUUUAUAAUAUUUUCAGCCAGAAAUGUCAUAGAUCUAUGAUGAGAACAAAUGUGUCAUAAAAUUUCCAUCAUAGAUCAAGACAUUUCUUAUAGUGAGAAACAAAUGGAAGCAACAAGUCGAUUACUUCUGGCCAGACUAAACAACACAAGGGGGAUGACCAAUGGGAUAGCGAAACCAUGACACAAGACGAGCAGCAGUAGGAGGAACCAGAAGCUAAACAUCUUCCCAACCCAGAUCAUCCACUUGUUCCAAAGAUCAAUAGCCACAAGACAAUUGCAGUCUACAUGCCAAAGUCUUCGGAGGAGACCAUCCAGAUCAACCAGGAUAUACUUCUUGGGGAAGAUUCUUCACAAGAUAUUGCGGUAGAGGACACGAUGUUAACAGUGGAAACUCAAAUCUUAGUGGAGCUAGAAAACACGCCUAAUAAAUCUCUAGCACCACAACAAGAAGAGGCAAGCCGCAUUGACUUCAACAAAAUCCUGGUGCAUGAGGUCGAUAGGGCAGUCUAGAUGGAUAAAGACAAAUGCCAAUUCUGAAUGUUGUUCCUACUUAAGGCAACAACCCGGUCAAAAAUCUUGAGAACGGUCACCUUCCCAACGCAAGUGAGGGGGAAUCAUUCCUGAAGGAAGACCCAGAGAGCUACAACAGUAGGGGGGAGGAGGAGGAUGAGGUGUGGCUGACUUCGACAUUUGUGGCCAGGAGGAAAAGGAACAUGAAGUACAACCUAGUGGUGGUGGCGAGGAAGAACACUCGGACCUUGGGUGUGGAGCGGGACAGGACAACUUACUCCAGGGGGUCUCAAUAGUUCAGGUAUAAAUUAUAUUCUUGAUAAUACUUUGCUAUUUUAAACACCAUUGAUGAUGAAGAAUUAGAGAAUAUUGCACUAGAUUGUGAUAUCAUUUUGGGAGAUAAUGAGGAGGGUGCUAAAACUGUGCUAAGUGCUAUGAAACUGGAAGAACAGGCCCGAGCUGCUAUUGCCGAGGCCAACUAUAAAGCCAUGAGCGAAGAUAAGCUCCAUCUCUCGCAUAUUUUAGAGGGGGAGAAUUUGGACUUAUCCUAUAUCUCUAAUAGUCAUAGAGGAUUUGCGAUGAAAAAGAAGGUCACUAGAGGGACAAGGGGAUAAACUAAGUAGGGAACUCAAAAGGAUCGGUUAUAAAUCAGGAUCCUUCUCUGGAAUAUUAGGGGCUAGGUAAACUUUCGAGAUUUAGGCAUUUGAAGGACCUAAUCAUUUGAGAGAGGCUGGAUGUAAUAGGGAUUCAAGAAAUGAUCAAACAAAAUUUUUUUGACUUCAAACUUCAGGGCUUAGCACAAGGUGCUCCCUUCAGCUGGGGUUGGAUCCUUGCCAGGGGUCGCUUCGGGGGUAUCUUGGUAGGGGUGUGGGAGGACAUUCUAGAAAUCGAGGGGGGAUAAGGGGGAAUUCUUUGCAGAGACUCAACUUAGAAAUAGGCUAUCUAACUUUAGUUGGUCAUUGUUGGUGGUGUAUGGGCCUACGGACCAUGAUUACUCUCCUAAUUUCCUGGAGGAAUUAGCUCUCAAAUGCCAGGGGAAGGAUCUGUUGUACGUUAUUGGAGGGGAUUUUAACUUAGUCAGGAAGCUUCAAGACAAAAGCCCAGGGUAGGGAGUCCCGAGGCUUAUGAACAUGUUUAACUCCUUCAUAGGACAGUUGGGCCUUUGAGAACUUAAAAGAGUGGGGGCGAGGUCCACCUGGACGAAUAAACAACAAAACCCAGUAUGAGCAACAUAGAUAGAAUCUUGAUGAUGACAGACUAGGAAUAGAAGUUCCCGAUGGCAAUCCUGACUAGCCUAACCAGAGUAGGGUCGGAUCACUACCCUCUCCUACUUGACAUGGGGGAGAGAAGAGAUGGGGGGCACAAUCAUAGACAAUUCUACUAUGAUAGACAAUGGAUGAAACAGAUAAAUUUCAAGGCUCUGGUGGAGGUUAAAUGGAUGGCAGGAAGAGGGAGAUGUCCAGACCUUGCAUACUCUCUGGAUAUCUGGCACGGCCAAAUUUUGCUUCUAAGGCAAUUUCUCAAAGGAUGGGGUGCCAACAUUAGGUGGGAGUAUAGGAGGAAACAGGAGGACUUACUAAAAGGAAUCUAAAGGAUCAACAAUAGAAAUCCAGAUGGUAUAGAGUCAACACAACAGGAAGAAAGGGGUAGAUUAGAAGCAAGGCUGGAAGAAAUCAUAACGGAGGAGGAACAAUACUGGCAAAAGAGGGGGGAGGUGGAUUCUGGAAGGAGACAACAACACUGGAUUCUUUCACUUAACAGCAAAUGGGAGAAGAAGGAAGAAAUCCAUCCUAUCUCUUGAUCAUGAAGGGGCAGAGAUAACUGAUCAACAACAAAUUUAGAGGGUUAUAUAUGAUUUCUACAAAAAGCUUUUCGGGAGAUAAGAGGGUGGAAAUGUUAGCCUAAGUACGAAAGCAUGGUCGAACGAAUGGAGACUGAACUCACUAGACAAUGAGGCACUGACUAAACCCUUCUCUGAAGAAGAGGUUAAGAAGGUGGUCUUUGAAUGAAGGAGGAUUCAGCUCUGGGCCCCAACGGGUUCAGCGUUGCAUUUUACAAGAAUUUCUAGGUUCUAGUCAAAAAGGAAUUAACGCAGAUGAUAAAUGAUUUCUACAUGGGGAGAUUGGACAUUGCAAGGUUGAAGUAUGGGAUCAUCACGCUGAUUCCGAAAGUGGGAGAUGUGAAUAACGUGAAGCAAUAUAGGCCGAUUUGGCUCCUCAAUGUAAGUUUCAAAAUUUUCACAAGACUGCUCAUGACAAGGUUGACGAGCCUCGCAAACAAGCUGGUAGGGAAAUGCCAAUCUGCAUUCAUCAAGGGGAGAUAUAUACUGGACAGUGCAGUACUUCUUCAUGAGACAAUGCACGAGCUAAGGAGGAAGACACAAAAAGGGGUGAUCAUGAAGAUAGACUUCGAAGAGGCCUACGACAGCAUCAACUGGACCUUUGUGGAACAGGUGUUGAACAGGAAAGGGGUUGACCCUUAGGCCAUCCAAUUGAUCGUGAGCACAGUGAGGGGGGUAGGGUUUGCAUAAACAUUAAUGGGGAGAAUGGACCGUAUUUCAAAACCUACAGGGGUUUGAGGUAGAGAGAUCCGUUGUCCCCCCUACUCUUUAAUCUAGCCACUGAUGCAUCAGACUAUAUCCUAAACAAAGCUAAACAUAGAGGACAUAUUAAGGGGGUGGUCCCACAUCUGAUCCUGGGAGGUCUUACCCACAUCCAGUAUGCGGAUGACAUGAUAAUUCUAAUGGACUAUAAUGAUUCUACAAUAACCAACAUGAAAUUUCUCAUAUACGGUUUUGAGUGGAUGUCAGGCCUCAAAAUCAAUUACCAUAAAAGUGAGGUGCUGGUUUUUGGUGCACCCGAAGAAGAACAAUCCAGAAUAGCAGACAUGCUUAAUUGUAAGGUGGGGGUCUUCCCAUGUCUUAUCUGGGUAUUCCCAUUAGUGUCAGAAAUCUGAAUACAUAGGCUUUUGGUGGCAUGGUUAACAAAAUAAGGAAUAGAUUACAACCAUGGAGGGGGAGGAUGCUAACCUCUAGGGGAAGGCUUGUUCUAACCAAUUCGUCUCUUAGUAGCAUGCCAACUUACCUCAUGGGAAUGUUCUCUUACCUGAAGGCAUCCAUCAACAAAUGGACAGAUCAAGGCGAAAUUCUUGUGGAGGGGGGCUGAGGAUAAAUUUAGAUAUCAUAUGGUCAAAUGGGAAAAUGUUUGUGUUCCCAAGGACUUUGGGGGGUAGGAAUAAUGACCACUAGGACCCUGAAUGAAGCCUUGCUUUUAAAAUGGAUAUGGAGAAUUUAUAAUUCUAGGGAGGGAUAUGUGAUGUUCCUUUCUAAGAGUAAAGUACACGAGGAAUUCACCCUUUACUUAGGGAUGUGGCGUGGGUGGAUCGCAAUUUUGGAAAUGACUCCAUAAGGUUAAACACAAAUUCUCCUUUGGAGCCACCUUCCAAGUCAAUAAUGGGGAGGCCGUGAGAUUUUGUAAAAACACUUGGAGAGGUGACAUUCCCUUGAAACUUGAAUUCCUGAACCUAUACACUUGUUGCAGGGACCAAGACGUCCUGAUCAGUAAAAGCUGGAGAUAGGAGGAAUGGGUAGUAGAUUUUAGAUGGCCUUUUGGACCAAGGGAGGUUAGAGAAUGGGACCAGCUUCUAGCCAAAUUAGAUCCAGUUCGCCUGAAUGACCAAAAGGACAAAGCAGUGUGGAAGCUGGAAAGCAAAGGGCAGUACACUACUAGAUUGAUGUACAGGUUUCUUACUUUUAGGGGUGUAAACGACAGGAGAGCGGCCAAGCUGUGGAAGAACAAACUACCCAUGAAAAUAAGGGUCUUCCUUCGGCAAACCUUCCAUAACAGGCUACCCACAGGGCUUGCGCUGAAGAGCAAAAUGUACCAAUUGCCCACUCUGUGGGGUGCCGGAAAACAUUGACCACAUUUUCUUCCAAUGUGUCCUAGCUAAAUUUAUCUAGGUAUGCUUCGAAGAAGCUCUCAGCUGGGAAGAUGCUCCUGACAGUCUGCAGGAGGUCAUGGGGGUUUCGCUUAAACUGCGGGGCACUAACUAUGACAUGAAACUUUUUUCCUUUGCAAUUAUCUUGUGGGUGCUUUGGAACCAAAGAAACAAAAUGAGAAUAGAGCUCAAAUUCCCAAAAUCACGGUGUGACGUUAUCUAUACUAUCUCUUCUAAGGGGGUGUUUUCUUCCGGUGACUUAUUUUUAGCACGUGUCACAUCGAAUGUUUAGAUACUAAUUAGGAGUAUUAAACGUAGACUAUUUACAAAACCAAUUACAUAAGUGGAGGCUAAACGGCGAGACGAAUCUAUUAAGCCUAAUUAAGCCUAAUUAAUCCAUCAUUAGCAAAUAUUUACUGUAGCAACACAUUGUCAAAUUAUGGACUAAUUAGGCUUAAUAGAUUUGUCUCGCCGUUUAGCCGCGUCUUAUGUAAUGGGUUUUGUAAAUAGUCUACGUUUAAUACUCCUAAUUAGUAUCUAAACAUUCGAUACGACGGGUGCUACAAAUAAGUCAGUGGAAGAAAAUAGGACCUUACUUGCAGAAGUGGAGGAUCCUGCUACUGGAUUCUGACAGAAGUAACCUGGAUAGCCUGCGUGACCAAAUGACCACCUGGUUGAGAGGCUACCUGACGAGGGCGCGAAAUCAAGAGCCGGCGGAGGACUUCAUUUAGUUUUUGUAUUGUCAGGUUGUAUAUAAUACCUUUUAUUCUAUCAGCUUGGGUAGCUUUUCAAAGCUGUACGUGAUCUCUAUGGUUCGCUGUCAACCUCAGCAAGUCUGUGUCCAAACAUUUAUGGCUUUCUAUAUAAAGCAGGAUGAGCUCUGAUUUUUUUAAAAAAAUUAUGUCCCUCUUGUCCGUUUGUUUUUUCUCUUUAAAUUAAAGAUUGCAUGUUAGGGAUCAAAUGCUCAACCGUUUCCCGUUGUAACAUAUGGGCAAAUUUGCUAGUAUAAUUUAAAAAUGAACGGAGUAUUGAAAAUCAUAUUAUGGAGGUAGUUAAGAAGAUGCCAAUCAUAUUAUGGACAUCAAGUGGUUGUAAGACAACCCUUCCUAUCGAGUCAACCAAUGGAUCUGCACAUGAACUAAACGUACCUCAAUCAAUUGGUAAUGUUUCUUCUAGUAAAACAUGCAACUCGGAUUCAACUCCUCGAUUCGGUACAAUUGCUUAUACUUUUUUUAUUUAUUUCAGAAUUUAACCAAUAUUAUUCUUUUCAUGGUAGGCGACAUGCGCGUCGAUAAUGAAACUCAUAUGUUGACUUUAUCAAUCUUAAGAUUUAUUGGCCAUCCGUCGAAGGUGCUCAUAGUCAAAGAGUAGAGCUGCAUGUGUAUAUUUAUCGGAGUAAGUGUAUAUGCGUGUGUGUGAGUGUUUCGCAUAUAUGAUGUGUUCCGUAAAAAGAUGUUCCAUAGCAGUAGUAUUGUGUGUGUAUUAAUGGGGUGUUUGGGAGACAGGGCUAAACUUUAGCCCUGUCACAUCGGAUAUUCGGAUACUAAUUAGGAGGACUAAACAUGAGCUAAUUACAAAACUAAUAGCAGAACCCCUAGGCUAAAUCGCGAGACGAAUCUAUUAAGCCUAAUUAAUCCAUCAUUAGCGAAUGGUUAGUGUAGCACCACAUUGUCAAAUCAUGAACUAAUUAGGCUUAAUAGAUUCUUCUCGCGAUUUAGCCUAGGAGUUGCGCAAUUAGUUUUGUAAUUAUCCUAUAUUUAAUACUCCUAAUUAGUGUCAAACAUCCGAUGUAACAGGGACUAAAGUUUAGCCUUGUCUCCCAAACACCCCCUGAGAACUAAAAAGCCGUUGGUUUGGAGUGCUGGGAGGUUCUUUUCAUUGAAUCUUAAGGCAACUUUAUUGGUAGUUCAGCUCUGGUGGUUUUUUAACAUUUUUUAAUGAAAAUCAUGCAAUAAUAACAGUUCAGAUUGCGGCAGUUUGCAAUCGUACUUUGUUUACGCAAUAAUGCAAUUAUAAAUUGGAUUUAUUUCUAAAAAUUGCAUCGGAGAAAUCCCAGCGCAUUAUUUUCAAAGGAAAAAAAAAAAGAAAUCCCGCACAUGAUGUCUAAUAUAACAAUUGAGCACAACCUGAGCAAGAUCUGUGCAUCCUAAUAACUGCUUAGCAAAUAAACUUUUUUUACGCUAAACAAGAUCUGUGCAUCGUACUAACUGCUUAGCAAAUAAACUUUUUUACGUUAAACAAGAUGGACUAGCAAAUAAACUUUUUUACGCCAAACAAGAUUAGCUAAGGAGAAGUGGACUCGGUGGAGUUCCAAGCACUCCAACACUGAGGUAGGAGGAGGAGGAACUCCAACCUGCGUCCCACCAGCUGGGCUCAACGGACGCGGCCCGGCCCAUGGUCUAAUAGAAAAUACUUAACUUCAAACAAAAGGCAAUAUAUUCCACCUCAAAAAAUCAAAAUACUAGCACUUUAUUAAUUAUUUAAAUAUUUCAUUCUAGACCCUCCGGCUCCGGGGGUAAAGAAAAAAAGAAAAAAAAAUCGGAGCUCCCCCUCGUGUCCUCUUCCUCUCCUUCACUUCUUCCUUCCAACCUCCCCUGCUCGCGCGUGACCUGGGCCGCCGCCGCCUCCAUCCAACCCUCCCGCUGCCGCUUCAACCGCGCCGCCACCGCCGCCGCCUAAUCUUGCCUUCGCCUCCGCGCGGCUCGGAGCCUCGUUCCCGUGGGAAUCGUCCGUCCGCCCCGACCGCCCAAUCCCCCCAAACCUCCGCCCGCGUGGGCGCUUCUUCCUCGGGAUCUCGUCGGUCCGGGCGGCGCAGGGCUAGGGAUUCGGGCCCAUGGCGUGGCGGCGCGUCCUGACCCAGGUGCGAGUCCUGAUCUUUUCCUCGUUCCCGCGCUUUAUUGUUGUACGGGGAUGCGGGCUGGGCUCAAACCUUCGAUCUUGGGGUGGGCGGGAUUGGAGGCGACGGCGUCUUCUGGGUCUCCGGCGAUAUGAAGAACGUGUGCAUCUAUCUGGUUGUUAUACGUAGCUAUCUUGGAACUGCCUCAGUGGAUGUCUCUGCUAUUGAAACAUACAGGCGAUAAGGCUACUGCUUUUGGACAAACAGUGAUCUAGUUUAAGUUUUGUAUGCUUACUAUUUUCGGUUAGUGAUAGAAAGAGUCGUUUCCUUUCAGUAAAUACUGGAGAUUAUGUUAUAUGGCCUGCCAUCAGAUUGGUGUGGUAACCUGUAUGAGAAUUCACAAGAGAUGCCAGAUUUAAGUCCAAAUGUUGUCUAUUAUGUUGUAGGUAGCUUGUGUUUUGUGAAGCUAAUUUUGAGAAUGGAAUAGUAAGAACUAAAAAAUUAUAGCAUCUUAGUUUGUUUAAUAUUGCGAUCUGCUGGAACAAGUAUUACUUGCAAUGGAAUAACUUACUCAGCUGCAUUGUUGUAUUCUAUCCUUGUUGAUGUAUGUAUAUGUUUUAAUGUUGCUUACUUGAAUUAAUCCAGGUUUGUCUCUGUGUUUAUGUGUUUUAUUGUUUGUUUUGUUACAGAUCGCAAAGCAUCGACCCACAAAAGCAAUCUACAAUGAGCUAGUUGCUUCCUCCCCUUUAGGCACUCUUAGAACCGAAGUCACUGCAGGUAUACUGAGUUUUCCAUAUCAACUGCUAGCCCUUUCACUUUCACUAUUACUUUAUUAGUACGUUGCAGCCUAAUUGUGUGGCUUUUACAACUUUCUGAAGUCACCCAUGCUCAAAUAUACGAGCUUCCAUAUCAUUUGUCAUUCAACUUUUCACGUAGUAAACAUAUCUUUGUCCUUUAUCUUUUCCUUUUUAUGAACUAAUCACUAAAGCUAAUGGCUGUCAUGGAUAAUACUUCUUUCUUUAAUUCAUGUCAUUGCUGCCAUUUCUGUGUAUUACUAAAAUGUUUUUCUGCUACUAGUUUGAUAUUCAUUAUUUUGUUUGUUGCUCAUCACAGGUGCCAGAAUUAGAAACUUACAAGAGAGGAAUCAGUCAAGCUAUAUUGGUAGCCUUGCACGCCGUGUGCGGGACCUAGAUGCACCAAGCGAAACUUCUCUGCUUAAAGAGAUUUACAGAAGUGACCCAGAGCGUGUCAUACAAAUAUUUGAAAGUCAACCUUCGCUCCAUUCCAAUCCUGCAGCACUUUCGGAGUAUGUGAAAGCUCUUGUAAGGGUUGAUAGGCUGGAUGAGAGCACCUUGCUUAAAACAUUACAGAGAGGUAACGAAGUUCUCAAACAUUUUAUCUGUAUCAUGAUUGUUAAUUGUUAAGCCUUGCAUUCUGCUGUGUUGUGUGUUCAGUGCUGCUGCUGCUUUUAUUUUCUAAUUCAAAGGUGAAUAAACUAGCAUACUUGAAACACAUAUGUAUAGUGGUUGCCUUGUUAUAUUAUGGAUACAUAGGCCUGUUUGGAACAGCUUAAACUUACGGAAAAGCCAGCUUUUGGUCAGCUGCCCACAUAAGUUACUUUUUGGGGAGGAGGGCAGCACCGGUGGUGGGAUUUUGGGGCAGAGGGCAGCGCCAGCACUCAGGCAAAGAGAGCUGGGGGUGCGGGUGGAGGAGCGCGAGGCAGCACCAGGCUUGAGCGGGCGGAGCUACCGACGUGGGUGAAGGAGCUCGGGGCGGCUCUGGCACCCAGUGGAAGGGGCUGCGCACAGGCGGAGGAGCUCAGGCGGCGCGGGGGUCCGGUGGAGGGAGCUGGCAGCGGGCGGAGGAGCUCAGGUGGCAGCGCCGGGGUCCGAUGGAGUGAGCUGGCAGCAAGCAGAGGAGCUCAGGCGGCAGCGCCAGGGUCCGAUGGAGUGAGCUGGCAGUGAGCAGAGGAGCUCAGGCGGCGGCAGGCCGGUGUCCGGUGAAGGGAGCUGCCAGCGGCGCUGAGCUCGGGCGUAUGGAGUUGCUGGGGCGGGCGGAGGAGCUUGAGCGGCGCUGAGCGGACAAUGGAGGGAGCCGCUGUCCCAGAGCGAAAGAUGGCGGAGGGAAGCGUCGGCGAGGGAGGCACAGGCUGGAGCCCGGGGCAGGCGCGGAAGAAAAGGCCAGAGAAGCUGCUCGCAGCCCGCUGCCCAGGAAAGCACUCUUGCAGUUCAUUUGUGAGAAGCGCUUGUGGAAUAAGCAGCUCAGAAGUUUAUUGUUUGGCUGCCUUUGAGCUUAUUUUUUAUGGGAAGCUGCUCAAUAAGCAGUUCCAAACAGGGCCAUAGUGUCCUGCUCUUUAACAAGCUAGUGUUCUGUUUCUAGUCUUGUGAAGAAAAAAAUCAUAGCAGUUAGAUGUAGGUAAUCUGUAAGAAAGCUUAUGCUGUACUUUAGUUCAUUUUAGUUCUGAUUUACUUUAAGGUGCAGUUUUUAUAUGUAAUAUAAGCAUUCCUAGUCAUUGAGUUUUAUUUCAAUGAGAAUUGUGAGAGUAAUGAUAAGCUCGAGCUACUUAUUGCUUUAUUACAUGUUAUAUGUGGUCAAAAACAGUUUAGUUUUAGAGUCUGAAUUAAGAUUCAGGGAAACCCGUUCCUCUGUCAUAAUACUCUCUUUUUGUACCAUUGGCUAAACUUAUUUGAAUCUUCUGUAUAAAUGGGUCUAUAGCUAGACUUCCUCUAAUGAAGCCUGUGCAGCGUCAGUUAGUAAUGGCUGACCUUUGUUUAACUUAACUUGCACUUAUGAAUUAUCAAUACAGGUGUUGCUGCUUCAACAAGGGGGGAAGAAAGCUUUGGCAGCAUUCCAGCAUUAAUUGGUGCUGGUCAAGCGACAAAAGAUGGAGUUCUUGGCACUGCAAAUGCACCUAUUCACAUGGUUACAGCAGAAACAGGUCAAUUUAAAGAUCAGCUUUGGCGUACCUUCCGAAGCAUUGCACUAACUUUCCUUCUUAUUUCGGGCAUCGGGGCUCUCAUCGAGGAUAGAGGAAUCAGCAAAGGUUUGAUUUUGUGAAAGAUGUGUGUUAUUUUCUGAAUGGAACUUCAUCCCAGUAACUAUUUAUGAAAUGAAUGUAGGCCUUGGUCUGAAUGAAGAGGUCCAACCAAGCAUAGAGUCUAAUACGAAGUUCAGUGAUGUAAAGGGUGUUGAUGAAGCCAAAUCUGAACUUGAGGAAAUAGUUCAUUAUCUUCGAGAUCCCAAGGUAAAUAAAUCGCUGGUCAUGAAAAAGGGGUAUAGUAUCCAGUGCUUAGAUGUAUAGUUUCCUCAAAUCAAACAAUGAUACUUGGAGAUAUUUUUACGACACUUGGUUGUGUUUGUAUGUUAUAUACCGUUAGUAUUGAGGAGGGUUCUACCGCCUUGGUAGUAUGUAACAGCAUUCUCCAUGCCAUAAUGUGAAACUACCAUGCAAUACUUUCAUUUUUUUUUAAUCUCUCUUUUCUUGAGUCUUGAGUUGUCUUGGGACUAAUUCAUCAACCAAUAUCUUUUGUUGGCACAAUAAUGGCAAAUGUCAGUCCAUAGACUGUUUGGUCUUUGUCAAGGGGUUCCUCCAGGCAUUUGUGACAUUGGUCGUUUUGUCAACUGAAUAGACUAACUCGAAGUUGCCAUUAAUCAGUUUAUCGUUGUUUUACCCUGCUUUGGUAAUGCUGUGGAUGCAUGCUUUUUCCAUGUUGAUUGAUAGUUUGUGAGUUACCUCCAUUUUUUCUAUAUUUGUGUUCUGAGUGUUAAGCUCAUCUUUUCUUUGAAAACACAUGAAGUUAUCUUGGGGUCUUUUUUUCAUAUGUUUUUAUAUGAUGUUCACAAACUGUCAACUCGUUUUCAGCGCUUCACACGUCUUGGUGGAAAACUUCCGAAAGGUGUCUUGCUUGUUGGCCCUCCCGGCACUGGCAAAACCAUGCUAGCAAGGGCUAUUGCUGGUGAAGCUGGUGUUCCUUUCUUCUCAUGCAGCGGAAGUGAGUUUGAGGAGAUGUUUGUGGGAGUUGGAGCUCGAAGAGUGCGCGACCUUUUUGCUGCAGCAAAAAAGCGAUCUCCUUGUAUAAUAUUCAUUGAUGAAAUUGAUGCAAUUGGUGGGAGCAGGAAUCCUAAGGAUCAACAAUAUAUGAAGAUGACCUUGAAUCAGUUGCUUGUCGAGUUAGAUGGCUUUAAGCAGAACGAGGGGAUAAUUGUCAUUGCUGCAACCAACUUCCCUGAAUCACUAGAUAAGGCCCUAGUCAGACCUGGGCGUUUUGACCGUCAUAUUGUUGUUCCCAACCCAGAUGUUGAGGGCCGGCGGCAAAUUCUAGAUUCCCACAUGUCAAAGGUGGUUCUUGAGAACUCCUAUCUAUGUGCUAUCCAGAUCAAAAUGUUUUCUCUUACCCUUUUGUUGGUUUAUUGCAGGUCUUGAAGGGUGAUGAUGUGGACUUGAUGAUCAUUGCCAGGGGAACACCGGGAUUCUCUGGUGCUGACCUUGCUAACUUGGUAAAUGUUGCUGCUCUCAAGGCUGCCAUGGAUGGUGCAAAAGCUGUCACAAUGAAUGAUCUUGAAUAUGCAAAGGACCGAAUCAUGAUGGGUAGUGAGCGUAAGUCAGCAGUUAUUUCUGAUGAAUGCAGAAAGUUGACGGCAUAUCAUGAAGGAGGGCAUGCCCUUGUUGCCAUCCACACAGACGGAGCUCACCCUGUCCACAAAGCUACCAUAGUACCCAGGGGGAUGGCCCUAGGAAUGGUGGCCCAACUCCCUGAAAAAGAUGAGACUAGUGUGUCAAGGAAACAGAUGCUGGCAAACUUGGAUGUCUGCAUGGGAGGGCGUGUGGCAGAGGAGCUUAUAUUUGGAGAUACUGAAGUGACAUCUGGUGCGUCAUCUGACUUCCAGCAAGCAACUGCAACGGCAAGAGCUAUGGUUACUAAAUAUGGCAUGAGCAAGCAAGUCGGCCUUGUCUCUUACAACUACGAAGAUGAUGGAAAGAGCAUGAGCUCAGAAACAAGACUUUUGAUUGAGCAGGAGGUGAAGAAUUUCUUGGAGAAUGCAUACAAUAAUGCAAAGACUAUUCUUACGAAACACAAUAAGGAGCUCCAUGCUCUAGCCAACGCACUUCUUGAACAUGAGACCCUCACUGGAGCCCAGAUAAAGAACAUAUUGGCCCAGGUAAAUAACAAGCAGCAACAGGAGCAUGCUAUUGAAGCACCACAGAAGACCCCAGCCGCACCAGCUUCCCCUGCAUCACCAGCUGCAUCAGCUGCUGCGGCAGCAGCUGCAGCUGCUGCAGCUGCACAGCAGGCGGCAGCCAAAGCCAAGGGGGUGGCUGGUAUCGGAUCUUAGUGCAUGGAGCACCCACCAGUUUGCAUUGUGUAUAUUUCACCAAACUAGUAAGAUGUUCCAGCAAUUGACGAUCAAGAGGAUCAUCAGGAUAUGCUAAACUGCUGCAGCAAUAGAAAAUACUGAUUGUGUGUAAGCUACUGUUCAUGUGCCUCGAGGGCAAAACAAGACUUUACACAUUGUAGUAGGCACAUUUAGCUGGUGCUCGAAUCAGUUUUGUACCCACAUCCAAAAUGAUUUCUGUUGUUUAGAACCUAAUAAUUGUUAGCCUUUGAUCCGCCUGCCUUAUGUACCUACAGAGCAUAAAUUGUAACACAUUCUGAAUAAGGUAUCCUGUGUGCUUGAAUACAAAUGUGGUAACUGGUAGCUGAUGAGUCAAUUUCUCAGCUUCUCUGAUGCUCAUUUGGUGUUGGUGUGCUGUACUCUUUCCGUCUCUUCCGCCUCAAAAUAAGUGUUCUUCUAACUUUUAAAUUUUAUCCCACAAAUAGUAUUCUUUUAGCUCAUAGUAAAUCUCAUGUAACUAAAGCAGCGCUCAAACUAAUUAAAAAAAAAGUGUAUGGAGAAGCGCUCUAAAAAAGUGUAUGGAGAAGCGCGUAGAGCCUAUCAAAUAAUUGAUGUUGUUCCUCUGGUUUCAACCAAUGCAUAUGCAUUUAUUCAAGAUUCAUAAAACUAAACAUUCAUCACGAUUUUCUAUCACAAUUAGUAUUAGUUAUUAGGAGCAACAUGAACAUUUCUCACAACUAUUAAUGUGUCCUAAAUUUUUUAAACGAACACUUAUUUUGGGACGGAGGGAGAAUGUCUAAUCAAGCUGACAAAAUCAUUUUGUGGCACUGGUGUUAGGGUAGUCCUACGCCCCCACUAACUAACAUAGUUUUCAUAGCAUUAAACAGCAUGGCACAUAAGUAAAAAACUAAUACGGCACGAGAGUUAAUGACAAAAGUAAAACGUUUUUCAUGCAAGGAAUCAUGUUUAAGUGAGAACAAAUUAUGAAAGGGAGAAAGGAGAAGGAAGAGGAGACGAUUGGAUGACUAUUUAUUGUAAAGAAACCACCCAUUGGUAAGGUAAUAUAAUUUCUAUGUCUAGUUUGUGUAUGAUGAUAUUAUGUAUUAUAUGAUAAGUAUAAAAACUAUUCGGUGGUGUUUGGGUUGAGAUUUCCUGUACUAAGCUUUGUUAUGAUCCACUGGACAACAACAGUUUUUGGAUCAUGUACAUGUGAUGCUGUUGGCUUGCACGUGCCGGCGUACUGUCAUCAAUCAAAAUUAUUCUUUUUACAAAUAAAAAAAUUAUUGUUCAUAGAACAGAGAAAAACUUUCUUUAGCGAUCUUUAGGAAUUCCCUAGGUUUCAACUUCGUCAUCUGUUACAAGUACAAAAUAAUGCCUCAAUGGUAGCUGAACAAACUACUGCUGCUGCGAGCUCUGCACUUUGGCUUUGAGCGCUUCAAUAACCGCCGAGAAGUCAUGGUCAGCGAAGCCGAGUGAUUUCGCAGCCUUGUACAGCUCGUUGGCCGCUGCAACAGUAGGAAUGGGCUGGGCCACCGAUUCUGCCAGGGCCAGCGCAAGCCUCAGAUCCUGCCAUGAGAUGGUUUGAUUAACAUCAGGAACUCAUUUAGGAUCAGGCCAGACCAGAUGCAAAUGAUACUGUUCGUCACUGCUGAAUGCAUGGACAAGCAAGUAGGUGCUACCUUCUGUUGAUGCUUCAGAGGAAAGGCAGUAGGAUAUGCAGCUUUAACCAUGGAUGGGCCCUUCAGGGAGAACAUGGGAGCACUGAUAGCACCCUGUGAAAUAACCUGAAAGGAUCAAAGUACACUAGAUCAGAUUCUUUCUCCAUAGAUGUUCACUAUUUACCACGGCAGCAUUAUGGACUUCAGAUUGUUUCUGUUUCAUUUUUACAAGAAUUACCUCAACAAGAGUAUUUGGGUCUAAGCCAACUUUUUCACUCAGGAGCAACCCUUCUGAGAAGGAAACCAUCAUGCUGCAGUAUUUGAACAAUUAGGACUAAGGGGUUAUCAUAUUAUUGCAAAGCAGAAGACUGUGAAUGAUUUUGUCACCUCCCCAUGACCAUGUUAACGACAAGCUUCAUCGCCGCACCAUUGCCUACAUCGCCGAGAUAAAAUCUUGACUGGUUUCAGAGUAAUGAAAAAAAGGAAUUAGCACAUUUUUCUCGACCAAACAUGUGAUAAUCGAUAAGGCGAUUGCUUCUUCUCAGAUAGGAGAUAUUAACCUUCCCCAUGACAUCAAGGAGGGGCGCCACUCUCUUGUACAAGGAUUCAUCACCUUGGUGCAACAGUGUUUACAGUUUCAGGUUACAGAAAAAGGGCAUUUUCGCCACUACCUAUCAUAGAUGCAGAAGUUUACCUGCAGUAAGAAAGAUGAGCAGCCCAUCUUCUGCCGGCUUUUUCGAGCCUGAAACUGGAGCCUACUGAAAAGUCAUCGAGUUAGCACUGGAGCAAAGUACAAGCAUUGCAAUUACACUUUUGGUGACACAAUGAGCCAAGCAGAUGAACAGUUUUAUUGUACAAGAUGAUCUGAGAAGGACAUAAAGAUGGCAGGGUCUCUGGGAGCCAGGGUCCAGGAACUACCUCAAGGAAAGAUGCCCCGGUACUUAUAAUACGUUCGCCGAUCAGCUUGGAUGUAGCGCCAUCAACCGUCGACACAUCAACAUACCUGCAGGUAUCAGGCAACCAGGAUAAGAGAUAAUGUUAUCAAGUUCUCCAUCCUCGUAUGCUCCAGGCAGGGUCUCAGAUGCUUUUCUGUUUUUCAGAGCAAGAUUGUUACCCUUUCCCUGGGGCCAACCCUUCUGCAGCUCCAUUGGCCCCGCAUGCAACCUCAGCCUGUUGUAUGCACACAUCGUCAGACACGAUUGGUCGUCAACAGACAUGAUUGGGUUUUGUCAUGUGAGUUUACAUGAACGCAGAAGUGUGCUGUCUGAAUUCUGAAUGAAGCAUAUUACCGCGCUUUGUGGAUCAGCAAGCAUCGCAAAUGUCACAUCACAAGAUGAAGCGACUUCAGCCGGUGAAGGCUCGUACCUGCAGGACGCAGCAUGACAGCAUCCUCAUCUAUCAAGCAAAGCACUUUGCGCAUCUUUCGUUUCAAUACAAUACUGCUUUUGUCGUGGGUCAACAUAGAUAACAACACCAUGCUGUCUAGUAGUCUAGUACCACUGACGGCAAAUUCAAAUUCAUCGUAACUGUAAAGGCCUUGGUUCCUUGAAUUGGAAUACUUGAGUGGAAAUUUAGCAUAGCAGAAUCUUUCCCAAACGGAAACAAAGAACAAUGCGAACCCCUGGAGAGGAAAUCUGAAUGAGAGAACAACAGCAGUCCAAUCGAGCGUUUGCAGGGUCCAGUUUCAGUUGUCAGGGAAUAUGGUUUGAAACCAUUUCAGAAAUUGCAUUCGUUGUUGUAGGUAGUACUAGUAGAAUGCAGUAAGAUUAAAUUGGAUGAAGCUGUGUUUUAUAUCGAAUACAGUACAUACUUGGCACCGAGGCUGAGGAGGGGAUCGCACUUGCUCUUGGUCCUGUUCCACACCGUAACGUCGCAGCUGCAGACGCAGAUGAGGUUGCAGGGAAACAGAGUUCGUUACAUGACAUACACCGGCCAUCGCUGCCGCUAGCCCUACGGAAGCAAUUUCAAAAGGAAAGGGAAAUCGACCAAUUACCCUGCCUUGAUGAGGUUGGACGCCAUGGGCGCGCCCAUGAUCCCGAGCCCCAGGAACCCCACCUUCCCCUGGAACCCCACUCCCCCACCGCCUGCCAAAAACCGCCAAGCGCAACCCGAUAAAAACAGUCCGCAGGAAACGAUGCGCCCAAACGCGUGCCGCAGCAGAGAGGAUAAUUAGGAGCUGGGGGAAGGAAUAAGCGCACCUUCCCCGGAGGAUGAGGACGCCGCCGCGCGGGAGGCGAGAAGGCGGCGGGGCAGCCGGCGCGAGGGAGGGAGCAGCGCGGGCGCCGCCGCCCUGGCGCAGAGGAACGCCGCCGCGGCCAUGGCUGCUGCUCCGGGGCGUGUGGGAUGUGACGAGAGGGGUAAGCCAGCCACGUGCGCCGGUCUCGGAGGGCGGCCGUUGGCGCUCUCUCUGGUGCCUGCUGCUCUCCGUCUCAGCCAGUCGGCCUCGGGGCAUGCGCGGGUGGUGGGCCGAGCCUGCUCCCGUGCCGGGCCCUCUUCCGGCGUUGUCUGACGACGGCGGCUCAGCUUUUUCCUGGGCCGCGGUGAUUAUUCCAUCCCCUCCUCGCGUGGCGUGUGGGGGCGUGGCGUACGUCGCGGCUGCAUCACCCCGCUGCUCUCCUCGGCUCGUCGGAUCCAUCCCUUCCCUGGCUGACGAUCCGAUGAUGGUGAUGACACGAGAAUACGAGAUGGAGAGCAUAUGAGAUGGAGAUGGGAUGAGAUGAAUCAUCCCAACCCUAUCAUGUGGCCGACUGCACCUCCUGUCUGCUGGCUGCUCGUCUCCUCACUGGUGUGUACCGUGCCGACUGGUACGGGCAUGUUCCGGCACCAGGAGUCCUGGAGGGAGGACAGCCCCACACAACGGCAUGCCCUCCGGUGCACUGCACGGGCGUACGUGUCGGGCAGCAAUAUACGCGUAUGCACACGCCUUUACUUGGAGCCGGGAGAAGUGAGGCUUAAGACAAAUCAUUGUGCCGAUGCAAAUCUGCGAGAUGCCUGCAUAAAGGUUUUUAGCGCUAGCUUUGCGAAGAUGCUCACGACCCGUCCCUUUAUUCCUCCCCCUUUCUACUACACACACUAUACUCCACGCAGCAAGCGCACCACAUGGCGUUUUUAUUCUUCGAUCCCUGCACGCGCUGCAGGUUAAUUUCUAUAUUAUCUUCUUCUCGUUCUGCUAGAACACAUGAACUGAGUCCACGACAUCUUGGAAGCAUUUGCUUAUCCACCAGAUACAGAGUCAUUAUGUAAAGAAAAUCAACCAUACACACUAACUAUGAUAUUUCUCACUAUGAAGAAAAUGAACCAUCAUCUCAUCAAAAACUAAAUUAACGAAGAUCAUCACCAUGAUUGUACUGAUGCGUACAGGACGACGUACCCUGUGCCUAUUGCCGCGCACUGUGGGCCGCACAGGCAGGCGUCCUCCAACGCGAGAGGGAAGCGUAGGACGGUGGUGGUGGUCACCUCCGUGAGUCAGCACAUGAACAUUUGCCCAGACUGCCACGCGCGCAAACUACUGGCUGGAUCCACACCCUGAGUUUAUCAGAGUGACGUUAGCGACGCUGGAUGAAAUUGCUAAAGUUUAACACAUUCAUACAUUAGUCCAUCCAAAUGGGAGGGAUAAUCUCUAGCUCAUCCAAAAAAGUAGCAUUAGCUGGUGGGGAGAAAUUAAUGGAUGCUAAUGCCUGGUGAAAAGACAGAAAGAGGGAGUUGAGGAGAUAAAAGGGGCAAAGGUGACGUUUCAUGUACUGUAGCUCUAUUCAUUAGCUAUGUCUCUAAAUGAGAGUGCUAAUGAAUGAAUGGAAGUGAUAAACUUUAAAUGGACUAAACUUUAUCACUUACAAAUUUUAGCAAUAGCACAUCCAAUCUAUCCAUUAGCUAUGUCUCUAAAUGAGAGUGCUAAUGAAUGAAUGGAAGUGAUAUACUUAGAUGGACUAAACUUUAGCACUUACAAAUUUUAGCAAUAGCACAUCCAAACAGACACCAGUACUACUCCAAGCAGUAGCUAGAGUAGUUAACUAAUGGCAGUAGGAACUAAACGUACAUGUUGGAAGAAUACCCAACAAUCAUAGCUAGCUAAUCCAUCUCGCUCCGUAUAAUUAUUAUUAUUACUACUUAUCCAACCCCACACCACAUGGCCUCCACCAUUUAUUCAGAGGAGUGCGUCGGAAUUACCUUGUGGCCUCUCUCUCUCUCUCGAUUCUGCUAUUAGCGCCGCGACGCCAAAUGGUUUCACGGAUUAGCCACAUACAUAGGAUGAUCAACCUCAAGUUAUGCUACCAUUUUUCUUUCCAGACAAAAGAAAGUCGAGAUCUGUCACGCCUUUUUUGGAAAGAAUUCCAGGAAAACAAGUGCGAGGAAGAUAGGCUCAUAGAUCCGCUGCGGCGUUGCCCGUUGUGCGGUGCGGGGCUACAAGACUACACGUGGAGUGGUAUACCACAAGAAAAGAAAGAAACGGCCACACCGUACGUAGUGUAGCGGGGAACUACAUCAACUACCACUUCUACUGUAUAAGCGGAGUCGUCGAAAUGGCCGCAGAUGCAUAUACCAAGACCAUCUUCAUCGGCCAAGGCAUUUGACUCGCUGACUGAUUGGAGUCAGGUCUUUUUUUUUUCCUAGCACAAUUUAAUAUUUUUCCACUCCUAUCAGUUGUCACUUUGAGCUGUUACACGAGUGGAACGAAAUUUGAGCUGUUUUACACGCCAUGGUCCGUCGUCGGACACUCAGGCAAAGCAAGCUGUGCUUCCUGAGAUGACCGAACAAGGCGCGCGGAAUAAGGUGACAAUCCAAUCCCGGCAGCAACGACAAGCGCAAGCGGACAAACGAAUAAUUUGCGCCUACCAGUGCACGGGAAUCACGAAUCAGGCGGGCUCAGCCGCUCAGGGCUCAGGCUGGGGUACAAUUCGGAAGGCAGAAAACGAUUUAACACGCCAAGCGCCAACGGAGAAAUUUAGAGGCGCCGUACAGCUAGAAUCAUUAGAAGAUGGGGGCUUGCCCUAGAGUCUAGAUAGAGUGGUACGUCAGAUUUGCUCCGAAAUCCAGUUUAAGCCGGAGAUAAGCCACCACUGUGCCAUACGGGCCCCAAAGUCCAGCCUCCCUGACAUUACCGUUAUGCCAUGUGCGCUUAGCAAUUCCAGCGUGAGCCCAUACCCCAACCACUACCGCCAUUAAACCCCUCCCCCAUCCGCACCGCGCCUCCGAAAUCUAAUCACCCCGUUCGUUUUUACCGUACUGCCCCCCGGCUUCCGCCAUCUAGAAAUUGUACUACCACUAGCAUCAGUGCAGCAGCCAGCAGCUAGCAGUGAAGUGAGCUAGCGAGUGACGUCGCUUUCUCUCUCUCCUCCGGUCAUCCCACACCACCGCUCCCCGACACACGUCCUAUCCCCUCGCCACGCGCCCGAGGCCUCCCCUUCCUCACCCGGCCUCCACGUGGGGUCCCGACCGUCGCGGUCCCGCGCGUCAGCCUCCUCCAGCUCAGACGCACCCCCGGCCAUCGGAAAGCGACCCGCAAAUCCACCCAUCCAUUCCAUCCGCCCACGCCACCCCGGGACGGACGGAGAGAGAAGAGGAGGAGGAAGACUGGAAGAGGGAGAAGGGAAUUAAAAGGGAGUGGAGGGCGACCAAGAAAUCUAGCCUAGCAUUAGCUGGAAACCCGAUCCGGGGCCGGGGGUGACGCCACCGACACGCGCGGCGCGGAUGGGUUUGGAUUUGGAUGGAUGCCUUGCCCAGCGAAGCAAAGCCAAAUCGCACGCCCAAGCCCUCAGAUCAGCACUAAUUACCGCCAGCGAGUGGGAUUAAUUAUUGCUAGAGUCCUGGUGCUGCCCUCACUGACACUGUGGAGUGUGGCGUGGACUGGUAGUCCUCUGCUGUUUGCAGGGAUGAUUAGGCUCGGAAUUGCAGAACUGAAGGGCUGAAUUGAACUUGUAUGGAUGAUGGAUCUAGGCUAGCAGGCUGGGAAAUUUUGGGCGAAGAACUGGCAAGAAUUUAGUAGGGGAGAAGGUGAAAUGGAAACCAUAUAGACUAUACUCCAAUAAAUCAUCCAUCCACAUACACUGUUGUCAAGAGAGAAGCAAGAGAAAGAAAAAAAGAAGUUGAAACGAAAAUUUUCUCUCUACCCCCGCCCAAACCCCGGGCCCGAAUCCAUCAAAACGACCAAAUCCAGAUCUUGAUGCGGACCUUACACU